GUAGCCUUCAUUUUUGAACUUUCUCCGCCCAUAGAGGUAUUGAACAAAUGUGUCGAUUAGAUAUGGACCGACAUAAGAUGCCAAUGUGUAAAAUAUAGCAUAUAACCCUGUCCAGCCAACCUCUUUCCAGGCCGAGAAUAUCAAUGCCUUCACCAGAUGAAAUGUGGUAACCCUGCCAUCCGCACCACACUCCGCCUCAAGUUUAUUUCUAAAAUUUGGAAAGGACCCAACUACACUAUCACCCUUGUAUAGUUCAGGAACAUCCUCAAGGUCUAAUGUCUUCUUAUUGCCAAGCGCAAUUAGAGGACCCAUCCAAGAAAGAGUAAGGAGGCUGAAAAUUCCAGCAUUUGAAUAAGGGGUAACAGGUGUACGCCCUUUGGAAUUAUUUGACUCUGCAUUACCAUUACCAUUACCAUUCAAAAGGGGUUCCUCAAGAACUGUAUUUCUGCCCUCUUUCUUCCCAAAAAACCCCACAUAUAUAAAGAACAAACCCGAGAUGACGCAGACAACAUCAAAAACUAAAGAUUGAACGGGCAAGGAAACGUGUUCCUUGUAAAGAAGGAUAUCUAUCACAAGGGAAUAGCAAGAGAUAGAAAAGUAGGAACCCCACCAAAGUCUCAAUAAAUUUGGGAACUUUGAUUCAGAAGAAUUAGAGAACUGGGUAUGCAAGUAGAUACAAAGAGCACCCCAGGCAAGUGUUCUAAUGGCUAAAUCAAAAAGGGUCACUAGCUUUUCCUCAGACCAAUCAUUUCUAUGCCAAUAGAAGUAGUUCAAUAAACAAAAAACAAGACUGAGCCCAGAAACACCAAGACAACAGAGUAAAGUUAGCUUAUAAUACCAACUUUGAACACUCCCAAACCUCUGUUUUGGACCUUCUCCAUCACCCACCUUGAAUUUCUUCCACACCCAAGAGACGAGCAACACAAAUAACAAAACUAGGUGUAAUGAGCCAGAAAACCCACGUAUGAAAACCGGUUUGAGAAGAAAAUCGGUACCUGGAUACGUAAUGAAUGAUGAUGAGUAGUGUGAGAAGAAGGCUGAGAGAGCACCGUGCUUUGAAGAAUCAAAAAGCUCCAUAAUUUGUGGAGCUUUUUGUUGGGGGCUCUCUGAAAUUCUGGAAAAUGGGGUUUUGGUUGGAAUGGUUUGUUAUAUAGAGGGGAGAGAGAGAGAGAGAGAGAGGGAGAGAGAGAGAGAGAGAAAUUAGUUUGUGGACGACUCAGGGAGUGUAGUCAGAGAAUGGAGAGUCAAAUGUCAAUGUGAAUUUUUCCUGGAAGGUAGGCUAACGUGGUGCCCAAGACUCACAUCACGGAGAUAGCUAUAGAUGGCUGCAAAGUGACGCAGAAAAUUGUUGGUUCCAGGAAAUAUGUGAACUGAUGAUAGAGAGCGAUAGACCAAUCCAUUAUAAUCUCUCUCUUGUAGAGCCCACCAAAUUGUAUUUUAUCAAUUUAAACCUUCUAUUUUUUAGAUAUUUAUUCAAAAAUUAGCUCUAUUUAAAUAAAAUCAUUCUAUAUAUUUCUGUGUUUGAGGAAAAUUAUCAUAUAAAAUUGUUAUGUAUAGUUGACUUUGACUAAAGAGAUUCUAUAUGUGAUAUUUUUAUCUGUGGUGGGGAAAUGAGAGAACUUGAACCCAGCUUUGACACACAUAACAACAACAACAAAAAAACAAAAAAAAUAUAAAAAGAAACUGGAAAAAGUAUAUGGUAGAGAGGAAAGUUAGUGUAUGGUAGAGAGGAAAGUAAGCAAAUCCCGAUCACACAAGCCAGCCCUACAACCAGCUAAUGUCUGAGUUUACAACCAAUCUCUAUUAAAGAGCAAGACCCACCAUGAUGUGAUGUGGUGAAUGUGGUUUUGUGUGCACAGCAAGAUAAUUGAUAAUUUUGGAUCUUCUUGUGUUAAAUCAUAUGCUGGACUUACUAAGGUAAAAUAAGAAAAUAAGGGCAUAUCUGGUAAUGUUUUUAUAGAAUAUUUUUAGAGAAUGCUUUCAGAGAAUGAAAACGAGAAAACGAAUUUGCAUUUUCAGAAUUCAAGAAUGCAUCUGGUAGAUUAAUUAGAAAACAUAUUCAGAAUAUAAAAACAAUGAGAACAUGUCUGAUAGUACAAUUUGAGAAUAAUAAUAUGUGAGCUAUUUUUCAAGUGUAUUUUUGAUAAUGUAUGUUCUAAACAAAAUAAUUAAAAAUUAAUAAAAUUCUAAUGUUAGAAAAACCUAGAAUUAUCUUUAAUAAUAAGUGAAAAUGAUAAAUAAAAAAGUUGAAUUUUGUUGGUUAAUUGAUAAACUGAACAAGUAUGCAUCUAAGAAUAGUUUUUUAUACACACAAAUUUUUUUUUUCCCCAAAAUAAAUACAGAUUAUUGAGUAAAGAACUUCUUGUAGUAGGAUAUGAGAAUAAAAUAAACAAUGAAGUGUCAUUUCUUUUCAACUUUUGUUUUUUCAUUAAUAUUUUUUAAUGUUUAUUGUAACAAAAAAAACUAAAAUGAUCUGAAACUAAUGUUUAAUUAAAACAAGAUUAUAAAAUAAAAUAAAAAUGUUAGCACACUUUUUCUUCCUCCUUCUUCUCGACUUUUCUUCUCCCAAUUCACAAACUCCCCACUGCCCACCUCCCCUCUUUUUUCACUUUCACUUUCACUCUCUCAUCUCUUUUCAUACAUCCUCUCCUCCCAUGUGUGCUGGUGUCGCUUGGGUUUAUAUAAUACAUGUGAAAACAGCAACAAAAUCACACUGAAACACAUAAUUCAAAUCAAUAACUAUCACCCUCGAUUUGUUCAAUUGGGUUGGCGGUGGCUAUUACGGUUCGAGUGAUUGGGUGGUGAUGGUGGAGGGAGGCUAUGGCUUUGAGGAGUUUGAUUCAAGCCAAGGAUCUGAUUGUGGUGAAGGCUGUGGCCUUGGAGUCAGAGUGGGUCUCACAAAAGAAGGCAAAGAGAGAAAGGAAGAGACAGAGGGGUGUUUAAUUUUUGGGUAUGGGAUUUGAGAAAGGUGAGAAUGGAAUAGAGCAUGAUGAUGUCUUGUUCCAGCUUUAUUAUAGCAUCCACAGUGGGGGUGUAAAUUCGGGGGUGUAAAGCCACUUUUAUAUCCUAUUUACACCCCCGGGGUUGUAAAUACGUUUUUGGCUCCAAUGAAAAAAGAUAUAAAUCUAAGAUGUAUAAUUGUUUUGUUUGUCAUAAUUUGUUUUUGUGUUAAAUUUGUAUUUUGUGUUUACUUUAUAAAAUUAAAUUUUUUUGUAUUAGGUUAAUUUUAAUUUUUCAAACAAAUAGAUUUAAAAAUAUUUAAAUUCGAAAAAGAUAUGAUUUCAUCCAAAAACAUUGGGGAGCAUGAAAAUCACAAAUGAGCAAACAACAUCUGAUUUUUUUUUCAGCAAUUACUGUAGCCGCGGGUCCCAGCCUUUUAUGUUGACUUUUCUUCAUUUUUCUUCUCUUUUCUCGGGUGGAUCCCGCCUACAAAAGAUGUAAAAAUAGAUGUAAAUGUACAUUUUAUUUUACAUCUCUAUGGUGGUGAUGUAUAUUUACAACCCUUUACAUCUCUCCAUUAAAGACGAUUCCGGUGACAAGGGGUGUAUAUUUAACAUACACUCCCAUAUACACCCUCCUAUUGUGGAUGCUUUUAUGUAAAAUUGUUUGGGCAUGGCAAGAAUGUAAUCACAAAACAGUCAUUUUAUAUGCAACGCCAAAGUGACUUGGGGAGUUCAGGUUUAAGCAUGGCAGGAAUGGAUAGCCAUGGUCGGGACUCGGGACUGUAAUUAAAGGGAGGUGGGUGGCAUGUGAUCAAAAUUAACAAAAAAUUAGAAGGGCUUAAUUCUUAUUAUCCUUAUGUUCUGCUCUUACUUAAUUCUUAUUAAAAUGUAAUGGUAAGUUUUUUGUUUUUCAUUUCUUAAAUGUUGAAUGAGAUAUUGAUCAAAUAAGAAAAUUGAUAAACAAGAUAUUGUCAAUGGGAGCUGUUAGUGGCAAUCAAAAAUGUCAUAUUGCACUCAUCGUUUGUAAUUAUAUAAGGGAAAAUUACAUGAUGAUUUUUUUAAGUGCCAAAAAUAGUUCCUUUUAAUUAUAAUAUGAAAGCUAGAAAGUUGAUAUAGAUACAAAUUCUCAUUGAGGAGUUGGGGUUAAUCUUUAGAUUUGAUGACUUAGAUCUAAAUUAUUUAACUUUCCUGCCACAUAGGAUUACAUUCCUUUUUAAAAUAGGGUAAAGUACCGAAUACUCCUUUGAACUAUCAUCCUUGUUGAAAUCUACAUCCAGGAUUAAUUUUUCAGCCAAUUUAGGCAUUGUACUAAAUUUUAUCGCCAAUUUACCACUCACUGUUAAUUUUUGACAAUUUCUGUUCAAAUCUCUGUUAAAAAAGUCACAUGUCAGGCACAUGAUUUAUUGUUGAAUUAAAAAUUAAUUUUUUUAACCUCUUUCUUAUACUCUCUCUCUCUCAGCUAGUCUCGAACCCGGAUGGGUUUUUGGCUUUGAACACAAUCCCAAGCUACUGGAGACCAGCAAAUAUUUUUUUUCUUCCCUGCUUCGCCAAAGAGCUCGAAUGAGAGAAAUCAAUCGAAGAGAGAAGAGGUUAAAAUCAAUCGCCGGAAAAUCCAAAUUGGGGGCUGGGUAAUAUGGGUUUCGAUUGUGUUGGUUUUGGGCACAGAUAUAUUUAAGUAGGCUGCGGAGUAGAGGAAUGAAAAAUUGAAUUUACUUCCUGCAAAAUUUUAUUAAGAUGCUGGAUACAAAUUAAACCUUACUUUAAAGAAAAAAUUUCUAGGGUAGAGGAUUGCCAAAAGCAAGCUAAAUAUCCGAGUAAGGCAGCAUCAGGUGGCUAACAAUAAUUACAUCCUCAUCCCGUUUCAACAUACCAGAUCAGAGAGCCUUGAUAUCUACCUUCCCUUGACACACACUUGACAAUUGAGGUACUUCGCCAAGAUAUCUGUUCACACAUAUCUCCAACAACUGCUUCUCCGCAGGUUUCAGCAGAGAACCCAGACUCAAAUUCUCAUUUAUGAGACCUUUCAACAGCAGAACUUUAACAACAGAGCACCUUGGAAUAAGUCAAAUUGAACCAAAUUGGGGGCGGGGGUUUUGGAAGAGAUUUUUUGGCGAUUGUCUUGGCUAUUGUUGGGGUAGGGUGAGCUGAGGCAUAGGAGGAAGAAACAGGGAGAGAGAAGAAGAGACGAGGAGAUAGAGAGAGGGUUCGCAAGGGAGCCAGGUAAUUUCGGUUGCAGGGAAUCACGUGGCUAACAUGUCAAAUCUAGACGGAAAAUUGGAUGAAAUUGCAUGAAAACUGACGGUAGGGGUUAAAUUGGCCAUUUAAAAUAAUAUGAAGGAUAAAAUGGCUGAAAAAAUAAUUCAUGGUGGAGAUUUGGAUAAUUAAUAUAGUUCGGGGGUAUUCGGCAGUUUACCCUUUUAAAUAUAUUAUGAUGUAAUCUUUUUAUUUUUUUAUUUUAAAAUUAUUUUUGUUCCAAUGAUGCCUUUAUUCGGGUAAUAGUGUUUUAUGUCAUAAUAAUUAGCCAUUUACAAUAUUUGGCAUUGACUACAAAAGGCAGAUACAGCAGACGGGAGAAGCUAUUUAUAUUUUUUGGCAUUGAUAUAAUUGACUGUGUGGGGGUCUUUUUCUUCCGGCAGCUGCAAAUGGGCUGGGCUGCCGUAAAGGGGAAAUUACUGAAAUUGCCCCCUGUGCUUGAGUUCGAAAAUUAAGCCCCAAAAGCACUUCGAAAGGGCAGUAAAGCCUUAGGAAGUGUUCUGGUUACCUUCACCAACGAAAAUGAUGGCUGCUUACAGGUGAUUUAUGCUUGCUUACAGAUAAAGUUUUAGCUUAGCAUGAGGAGAUUGUGGCAUGGGAGCAAGGUCAGCAUGAGUUGAGCACCAAAGAGGAAAAUAAGGCUUCCUAGGGAGAAAUGGGAGUGUUUAAGAUGAGGGAGACAAGGUUUGCAGGAUGAUCUUGGCUAAAAAGGGGUAAAGGAAGGGCAUUACUUCUUCCGGCAGCUUGACAGACUCUGAAAAUAGUCUGUUAACAGAGAAGAACGAAGAAGAAGAGUGAAUAGGGCUACUGGAUUUUUACAAGUAAGAGAGGAAGCUUGCUCUCUCAGCCUGGGUUGGUUUUUGCUAGGUGGAGGGGACCUCCUUUUAUAGCUGCGGGAAACUAUCCUUUCCCAAGAAACCCUAAUGGUUUCUUCCCAAUCUUGGCAAGUCUUUCCAUCCUUUUUCCUCUCUUCUCUUGACUUUCCUAUCUGGGUGAGAUUUCCCCUUAUCUAUUUGCACAAAAUCAGGAGUUUUGGAGCUCAAGACCCCUUUUCCCGCGGCUGCUUCAGUAGGAAGCUCCACUCUUGGCUACUUUUCUUCUUCUUUCCCUUCUCCUUCCUGGGCCAGCACCGAUAAGGGAAAACAACUGGGUGUAUAUGCUGGUUUGAAAGGGUACUCCUCUUCCUGACAACUUACAUGCUAAUAUCCCUUGGUCUCUCUAGUGUUUUGUUUUGGGACUUGAUCCAUUCCCAUGUGCUGGCACUUUCCAGCAGCUCUGUUCAGUGAACCUGCAGACCUCCUCUACGUGGCUUCUACUUUUCUAGCAAAGGGCUGAGGCUUUUGUGGCUUGUUGUGGAAUUUUGUAUGGGCUAAGGUACUUCAUUAAAUAAGUGGGCUAUUUAAACAUUGGGCUUUUGGUUGGGCUAUCCUUUGACUGGGCUAAUUUUGGUUGGGUUAUUUUGAUUGAGUUAUUUUCCCCUCUUUGCUCACCCAUAUAUUUGGGCCUAAGAAAUGGGCUUGGGUUCCGAGGCUCCCAAGCAACUCGGAACCUCCAUUUCUCGUCCCAUCAAUGGGCCUCAUGACCACCUAUUACCAUCCAUACCACAACCCACUCAAGCAAGCCCCAGGCAUCUUGCGUGGCUUGGGCCCACUUAAGCUUGUAGCAUGGCAUGUUGUUUAUUUGCUUGGCGUGGCAUGUGUAUAAGCGCAUAUGGCAAACUUUCGCGUGCCCCAAAUUGGGUUUCUUCUCGGUAAGAUAUCGCAUUGGGCUGAGAAUUUAUUUGGGCCGAAGCGUGGAUUUUUUGGGCCUCAACAGACUGCUUGAUUCUUUUUUAGUUUUUCCAUUAGGGAGUGUAUUCAAUUGAGAUUUUAAAAGACUAUUUUGAGAUAAAAAAGUCUUUUGGUAUUCAAGUUAGACUUUUAAAUAAUCUAAACAAGUUUUGUAGUAUUUCAUUAAGACUAUUAGGAUUUUUAAAAGAGAGUGUCGAAAUCACGUGGCAUUCAAUUAAGACUUUAAACAAGUAACAAAAAUUCUUAUGGUAUUCAAAAACUUGCUAAUUUCGAAAGAUUUUUUAAAAUAUGGAAUUAUGUGGGACUUUUUAGUGGGAGUUAUAAAUACUAAACCUUAUCUCAAAUCUCACCCUAACCUAUGAGAUUUUUCACAUGAAAAUUUUUUUUUUCUCGGGAAAAGAUGAACUUACAUGCACAAAAGGCUUCUCUCUGUGCAUCUCUCGUAUGCGGGUUUAGUUCAAUCGUGCGAAGAGAAGUUGCUCGUGGUACCAAAGCCUCACACCCAGUUGCUGAAUUUCAAUUUUCUCACUCUAUCUCUAAUGGCGGAGCAAAUAGCUCUCCCUCUACUCCUUCACAACCCAGCCCAAAUUUUUGUUAAAAAAAAUUACCUACACUACAUAUGUUCAGCCCACUUAAAUUAUACAAACCUAUCAAACACACCAUCCCAUCCUCCCGUGCAAUUCUUCUCCUCCUUUGCAAAACAGACAUAAGUUCUCUGUAGCCAGCCAACAACUCCUCUCUGCAGCCACUGCCAACAACUCCGCUCAACUUCUCUGCAGCCAGCAACUUCUCUUCUUGGCAACAACAAGUAUUCUUCUCAUUCUCUCCUUUUUAAUUAUCUUAUGCAUCUUUAAUUUGAAUAGAAAAUAUUCUAGGGUUUAAUUAGGAAUGACUUAUAAUUUGGAGAUUUGUUGAAAUUAAUUAGGGUUUUGAUUUUAGAAAUUUUGUUGAGAUGUUCAAUGUGUUGUUGGUAUUGUUGAUAUUUGAUUUGUGUGUUGGUAUGUUUGAUUAAAUGCAUUAAUUUGUUGUUGGUAUUGUUGAGGUGUUUGAUUUGUGUGUUGGUAUUUUUGUUGAAAUGUUUGAUUAAAAUCAUUUCUACAUAUUAUUUAUUUUAUAGGUUAUCUCUUAUUGUGUCUGCUCACAAUCGGAACCCCAAGAAAAUAAUGACUUUGUUGUCUUUUUUUAAGAAAAAGAAUGAUGACAUCAUCUAAUACAAAUAUCAAUUAUCUUGAACAUGAUCCAGAAGUACGUCAUCUAAUAUGCAAAUAUUCGGUGAAGGAACAAGAUAAUGUGCAAAGAGCAUAUAUUCUUUUAGGGUCAUGUCAACCCGAAUUAGAAGAUUAUUCAAGCCACUUAGAAGGGAAAAUCUUACGUUGAUUUAAUAAAAAGUGGUUUGGCCAAUUCUCUUGGCUUGAGUAUUCAGUUGCUACGAACAAGGCAUUUUGUUUUUCUUGUUUCCUAUUUGAUAGAAAUCAAUAAUUUUCGGCCUUGUUUUCCUUGGUUCCUAUCUACAGCAAUAACGGAAUGAGUUUUCUUAUGUAUGAGAAUUAUUGAAUCAACUUAGAAGCACCAAAGGUGAUGAAUUUCUUGCUGAUUGUAUGAUCCUCCACAUUGAAAGAGAGUUUGCCAAUACUAUCGACAAUGCAUCAAUAAUUGAGGAAUUUAAGAGUUCUAAGCCUCGUAGGGUUAAAUUUUAUAUUUAAAUAAUGUUGUUUUGUAUUGCAUUACAUUGCAUUUACUUUUGGUUUUUAUUUUAGUUUUUGUAUUUGUAGAUAUAUAUGAAUUUGAGGGUAAGGCUCAUUACGCUCCCCCUCACUAUAUGUAUCUUUUUAUGUUUAUUAAUAAAAUUCACUCGUACCAUCGAGUUUAGUACAUAAAUUUUGCCCGGUCAGCUUUUGAAUCCUAUGACCGCCACUGCACCACCCUCUUCAAGACCCUUCUUCCAAAACCAAAACCCAGCCACACCAACACCACCUCCACUUCCUCCACCACCAUCGCCGCAGAUAACCCCUCUUCUCUAAGAGCUCCUCCUCCACCCAAACCCCUCAACCCAAAACCGAACCUCCCCUCCCACCCUCGCCAGAGCACGCACUCGCAUCGGCAAGUCACGUGAUGGUAGAACCUUAUAUCUGAAAAAGAAAAGUUGCAAAAAAAUAGAGAAAAGAGAAAAGGAAAUUCAUUUUAUUUCAUUUCAUUAAUUCCUCUUAAGCAAAAGAGAGAGCGUUUAUACAAUUCCUGAUUUUGGCCAGCUGGCUAUGAUCUAGCAAAGUUUCUAACAAAACUUCCUACAAAUAGGGAAAGGACAAAGUUGUUAUUAUGUGUGGGAAUAGCUAGGUGAUGAUACUAAGGGAAUACAAAGGUGAUAGUAAGUGGGCUGCUGUUCACCUGUUUCGUGGUUGUUCCUGUAAUGCUAGGGUGAAGUUCCCCAUUGCCUUGAAAACCAUUGCCUGGUCAACAAGUCAACUUUUUUUAGUGUGCGAGCGUGCCACUGCUAGUAACGAAAAAUCCUAGCAGACUUCGAAAACAGAUAACUUGCGCCCCAAGUUAUUGAUUUCUAAACAAGCGAAUGCGAAUUUGGGUGAGGAAUAUCUCCCAAGUAAGUUCUUUUCUUGCCUCAGACUGGUGAGGACUUCACAAUUUUCACAGUGCAAUAUUGGUAGUUCUGGCUAGAAUAAAUAGUAAGAAAAUGGGUUGUUUUCAGGCAGAACUGACUUUUACAAAACUCGUAAUGGAAAAACCAACUCUAGAAAGACAAAAAGAAGGCUGGACUUCCAUUUCUACCUGGAUAGAUGCUUCUGAUCCGGGCUGGACUGGAUAUGCUUGUACUGGACUGGGCUGUCAGCAAGUUCAACUGUUAAGUUUCAGCUGUAAAUUGAUACCAACGUUCGAGUUUGGCAGAGCUUUAAUCUAUUUCAAGCCAUGGAAGGCUCUUUGAACGGACAGAAUUGCGGCCUCCUCAGUUUGAAAGGGGCAGAAGUGGCUAGAUUCAAGGAUUACUGAGCUGAUACUGCACUGUGAUGCCUGUUUUGCUUGAUCAGGGCUCUUCAUAAAUUUGUUGAGGUUUUCAUAUUUGUAAAAACCUAGGCUCUACUUGUCUUAGCUUUUGCUGAACCAAAUUUGCAACGAGAGAAAUCUCAUUUUAAAUGACUUUUCUCUAAGUCUGAAACUGAAUUGUAGCUGUCUUCUUUCUUGUGGCUCAGUGAGCUUUUGGUUGCUUCAGUUUGCUUGAAGUUCUUUUUGAGAUCAAGUGAUCAUUUUGAGUUUUUGUCAUUUGGCUGAUUUUUGGUUGUUUGAUUCAUUGUUCUUGAUCUGUUCACCUCCUCUCAUAUUUAUAGCAAAUGCUGGAGUGAGUAUUUUAAUCUUUUAAAAUGGGCGGCAGUUUUUCUAAAAAACAAGAUCUUUAUUUUUUUUUAGAAAAAAGGGAAGUUAUCUUUAUCAAAAAUAGACUAUCAAUGGUAAGUUUUAAGUCAAUCACUUCCCUACUUUUCUUUAAAAGACAAUCUAAUCUCUCUGCUCUUGUGAGAUUUCAAUCUACCAUGAUGGUUAGUUUGAUUUUCCAGAUGAGCAACUCCCUGCACCCUACUUAUCUGUUUAGAAAAUAUAGCCUGCUUAUCUCUUGGAAAUGGUACCUGCUUUAGAGCAUAAUUUUUCUGAAUAUAAAAAAGGUAUUGUGAUUUUCUUUUGCCUGAAAAAAGCUGGAGACUUUUGCCUGUUUUAAGACCUGCUUUUAUUAACUCCUUAUUAACCCAGUUGAAAUUGCUGACUUUUCAAAGUCAGGAAUUCUCGUGGGUUUGCCUCCAAUUUUGGGCCUUUCUUCUCUUUUAAUCAUACUCAGGCCCAGGUUGAGUUUUGAAACUGUGGGCUGAUUUUCCUUUUUUGAAGCCCAAAUAACAGUUUUUGGGCUGGGCCUUCUUGGAUUUGGGCUUUUGAAUUCAAAUGCAAAGCCUAAUCUGCUUGGGGCCUGAAAUUGCUUCGUUAUUCUGGGCUUCCAGUGUUGGGCUGAGUGUGUAAUUUUGACAUGGGCUUUUAAUAUUUGGACUGGGUGUGCCAAAUUUAGGCCCAAACAGCUGCAAAGAGUAUUAGGCCCAAAUGGGAUUAGGUCCUAACACGUGACUCCGGCCAUGGCAAGCCUUGGUCCCACCACCACCUCUCCUCUCAAGGUCAGCAUAUCCUUCAUUCCUUUCUUGACCCACAAUUUGAUUCUUCUAAACUAGAUGAGCAGCUUUUGGGUUUCGUUGAAUUGCAUAGAGAUGAAUUUGGUUCUAGGUUGGACUCUCUAUCUCUGGACGCCCUGGGUAUUGUUAGAGCAUCUCCAAUCGAUAUGUCAAAAGUGCCACAUAGACAUUUAACGGCUAUAAAUAACAUCUCACAUCACUCCAACUGAAUUGUCAAAGCUGAUGUGGAAUGAAGGUUGGAGGUUCAGCUGUUAUUUUUGACAUUCCAAAAACAAAAUGUCAAAUGAAUAUUUUAUUAUUUUUAAAGACAACUGGCUGUUACUUUCAUUUAUAAUUUUACUUUUUUAUUUUUUUCUUCUUUAUCUUUAAUGAUUUGAUUGUUACAAUAAUUAUUUAUUUGACAUAUCGGGUGGAGUGUAAGACUGUUUAAAUAUCAAAUUGCCACAUCAGCUAUCAAAUUUAAAUUUGAUGUUUGGUAUUUGACAUCUCCCCAGGAGAUGCUCUUAAAGGUUUAGUAUUCUAACAAAAGUGGGCAGGGUUUCUUCUGCAACUUCUUUGUUUCAGAGUUUGCAUAAGGAUGGGUUUUCUCCAAGCGUUGUGUCUUAUGCAAGAGAUGGUUUAUUGGAAGAGGCAAUAAACAUUUCCAUUUCUGAUUCUUAUAACUUGUUAUCGCUGCGGGCAUUGAGUAAGAUGGGUUGAUGUUGUGAGAGCUAAGUUAAUAUCAUGCCCUCGAUCAUUUUCUUGCAAGUAUGAAUAGAUGUGAUUGCUCUUUGCAUAAUUGCAUGCAAUAUGCAAUAUGGGUUGAUGUUGUGAUUGCUCUUUGAAUAGGUGAGGAAAUGAAAGGGACAGGGAAGGACUUUUGAGUAGGCAAUCAAUCAUUAUAUAUUAACCUACAGGGAAUGUACUUAACCAUACAAUAUUUGCAGCAGAAUAUAGCAUAAACUAAAAUACACUGCAAGCUUUAACUUCUAUCACUUUGCACCUCACCGCUUAUGUUUCGUCAUUAUCAAAACAGCUAACCAGUUGAGUAGUUCAUAAAGAAGAUUUGGAAUUUCAUGGUCAGUCAAACUACUCAAAACUGGAAUUCGACCUCACAGUGUACUCUGCCACAAGCUGAGCAAACGAUGACGACUUGUUCUCUAGCAAUGUCGCAGGAGAAUCAUAUUCCUCAAUGAGCCCUACAACAAGAACAAAGAUACAUUAAAAAAUGAAUAAGAAUUUGAGCUUCAGUGGUAACUAGAGGAAGUUGAAUGCAUUCAUUUGGCAACACUAACCAUGACUCAGAAGCAGAACCAUGUCACUAUCAAGAACAGAAGUUAUACGAUGUGCAAUGGUGAUGACUGUACAGUCAGUAAAGUGUUGGCGAAGGGUCUGCUGGAUGAGAUUAUCUGUAGCUGUAUCGACCGACGCGGUAGCUUCGUCAAGCACCAAGACCUUACUUUUCUUGAGCAGCACACGGCCAAGGCAGACCAACUGCCUCUGACCCAUACUCCAGUUCUCUCCAUUCUCACUAACUGCAGCAACCAUAUGAAACAUAAACAAAAGAAUUUCCAUGACGUAAAAUGAAAUCUAGUGCAUCAUAUAUAGCCUGUAUCUUAGAGUAGCCAUAGAACAAACCUGUGGCAUCCAGCUUUCCUUCCUUUCUCCUAACUUCAUCUCCAAGUUGACACUUAUCCAGGGCCUGAAAAAAUCAAAAGAUGUUUUAACUAGUCCCAUGAAUUUAGCACUGCAAAUCUAUAAAUGAAGAACAUUUAGUAGGAAGAAGAUUCCUUUCAUCAGUGUAAAACCAACCAACCUCCCAAAUUUGCUCAUCUGUGUACUCUUCAAGUGGGUCCAGAUUGCUUCUUACAGUCCCUUCAAACAUGGUUGGGUCCUGAGGGAUAAUGCUCAGCCUAGACCUUAGAUCAUGCAGUCCAAUUGAAGAUAUAUCAAUACCAUCUAUCAAAAUCUGGCCAGAAGCAGGAUCCACAAUUCGGAAAAGGGUCUGUAUGACAGUCGUUUUGCCACUGCCAGUUCUACCCACAAUCCCAGUUUUCAUUCCUCCAGGAAAGCUACAUGUGAUACCUCGCAACACAAGUGGCAUGUGUGGGGCAUACCGGACCUAUAUAAACAUGAAAUUCGAGUCACACAUGAAUGACCCCAUACGUUAUGAAAGAAAUAAACCAGAACAGCAAGUACCUGAAGAUCAUGUAUGUCAACUUUUCCACGUAAUGGCCAAGAACGAUCUGGCUGAUUGGAUUCUAUUACAAGAGGAGGCUCACUGGGAAUGGUAGUGUACUGUAGUAAUCUCUCCACUGAUAUAAUUCUGUUCUCCACAUUGCAAAGAUUCCAUGUAAACCACGACUGUAACGUGUUUAGAUUAAGUCCAUAUGUGACAGCUAAGCCCGCAACACCUUCAGAGUAAAAUACCAAAAACAAAUAAGAAAAGAGAGAACUCAUAGAUUUGCUUUACCAUUUGCUUUCAAAAGAAUAAUUAGUAACACGCUAAAUGAAUGCCACUUGCCUGGAUCAAUCACCCCUUCUGGAAUAGAGAUCAAGAAAACCAAACAGAAUCCAAAAGUUAUAGAUGACAACAUAUCCAAGCGAAAACAUAGCCACUCCAUUGCAGCCGCAGUAUGAAACUUAGGCCGACCAUAACCAUCCAUCAGUUUCAUGUUUGUAUCCCUAAAUCUUGAUUCUUGAUCGAAGCUCCUAAUAGUUGUCGACCCUGAAAUUGUUUCAGCAAAGUGUUGUAUCACUGGAGCUUUGCAUACUCCAACCAACCGUGCCAGUUCUCGUGCUGAAGGUAUGUAGUAUUGCUGCAUGAAUAUAAAAAUUUUGAGCAUCUUUCUUCACAUUUAACAUAGUUCAUAUAGAUUGCUGGCUGUAAUAGGAGUUAGGUUUGUUAUAUGGAUUCAUAUUGUCAAUCAUGUUCCAUGUUGUGCCAAUUUAGAAGUUUCUAAGAACUGUAGCAGAAAAAGGUGGAAGAAAAUGUUAAUAUAUCAACUUAGUGAACUUUUGUGUCAAUAAGGAAGCCAAGUUCCUCAGUUCCACAUCAAAUAGAAGGUAGAGCAUGUAUAGGAAUGAAUAACGAGCAUCAACAGUGCAUGAUCAACAAAGAAUUAACACUAAAGGGACAUUAACAUUUCCAUGUUAGAUUUCAUGUGGAAAUUCAUGUAUUGAUACAACAUAUAAGAGAGAAGCAGUAGGACAAAGAAGCGUUACCUGUAACCAGAUACAGAUUGCAAUCACAGGGAUAAAAAUGAUGAAAACCUGCCGUGCAACUUGCGAGAUCACUGCAAUAAUUCCCAGAAGAUGGAUCGAUGAGUUGGCAAGGGCCCCAAUUUGACCCGGCAUGUUCAAGUCCACUACAUUUUGGUCUGUAGAAGCCUGCAAGAAAUCAAUUAGCUACAUUGAUGAGAUUACUGCAUUCAGUACAGCAGCAGAGGGAGUGGUAGCUGUUUAAAGCAUCUAAUUCUCUUUGAAUAUCCCAAUAAGGCACUAUAUUAGAAAUAUAUUUUGCUUACUCUGUUUAGGAUUCGUCCACUUGGAGUGGCAUCAAAGAAAGACAUGGGAGCACGGAAAACGCAUGAAUGCAUUUUACUAAAGAGUAGAGUGGCUGUCUUGUACCCAGCUGUUGCAAGAAACAUGGAUCUGAAGAGGAUACAAAAAGAACUUCCAACGGCCAAAGCAACAUAAACAGUUAGAAGUGUAGAGGUUUGAACAGCAGGUUUCACAUCCUCUGAAACAGGAGUUGCCCAAGCCAUCCAGUAAUUGCUUCCAAUUUGAAGGACCUGAAAGAGAACCUGUGCAAGCAAGAUAAACGGAACAAGAGCACCUCCGUAUGCUGUGGUGAUGUACUUCCAGUAGACUGACAACCCAACUCUACCUUUCUCUCUCUCUUCUUCUUGAACAAGCUGCCCUUUUGGUAAAUCAUCUGUUUUAGAAUUUUGAACAUCAGUGUCUUCUACGUUUUGGACAACCCCACUAGUACUAGCAAAUUCUCCAUCUUCUUUGCUAACGCUUAUUUUUUCAACUGGCUCCACCUCUGCAGAAUUAAGCACGGACAAAGCUUCCGCGUGUGCUCCCACAAGUUCCAUAAAAUCAGUUCCUGAAUUAAGAAUGUCAUUGAACUUUCCUGCUUGAGUAAUCCUUCCGUCUUUCAUGACCUAAUGACAAACAAAUAAGUUUAAGCAGACAGAUACUAACUAGAUAAUAACAUGUCUUCUGGAUUUUUUACCAAGAUGAGGUCAGCAGCAGGUAAGAACUCCAUUUGAUGAGUAACAAAGAUUACUGUUUUUGAACCCAAGAGACCCAGCAAGCAUUCCUGUAGUGCAAUUAUCAAGCAAACAAAUUAAUAAUGAGCUGUCAAUUUUACGGAUGCCAGUAAUUCUAUGAUGUAAAUAAGUUUGGAUACUCAAUUUAAACUAGAUGUAAUCACACUACAAGAGGGAAAUGAAAUACCUUAAAAAGGUGUGAUCCUGUAUGAGCAUCAACAGCGCUAAAAGGAUCAUCAAACAGAUAAAUAUCAGCGUCUUGAUACAGAGCACGUGCAAUUUGUAUUCUUUGCUUCUGUCCACCACUUAAAUUGAUUCCCCUCUCCCCUAUAAUUGUCUGAUCACCAAACGAUAGAAUUUCCAGGUCCUUCUUUAAUGAACAUGCUUCAAGCACCCUCUCAUAUCUUUCUCUGUCCAUCUCUUGACCAAACAAUAUGUUUUCCUCUAUCUUGCCACUCUGUAUCCACGGUGACUGAGAAACAUAGGCCUUUGUCCCACACAUUUUAAGAGUCCCCGAUAUCUUCGGAACUUCUCCCAGAAUACAAGAAAGUAAGCUAGACUUGCCUGAGCCAACAGUACCACAAACAGCAACCCUCAUACCUUGGCUCACUUUGAAAUUUAGAUCCUUCAAUGUUGGACUAGGGGAUGAUAAAUCCCAAGAGAAAUUCCCAUCGACUAUCUCAAUUGCUGUAUCAGAACUACCUCUUGGAAGGUUCUCUAUAACGUCAGGAGGCAAGUCAUCAAGACUAAGGAAUGAUGCAAUUCUAUCAAGGGAUACCUUAGUUUGUGCUAUCAUUGAAAUUAAGUCUGGAAGACCGUAGAUAGGCUCUUGAAGAAUCCUGAAUGUUGCAAGUGCAGAUAAGAUCUUCCCCGACUCAAGUGGGAUCCCCAAAAGCAUGCAAGCAACGAACGUGACCACUGACACAAAUGUGGGGGCACCCCAGAAAACAAAUGAGGUCAUGGCAGACGUGUAAACAAACUUUCGUAACCAUCCCGCCUCAGUCUUCCUGAGAUCAUUAAUUUUAGACAAAAACUUCAUCUCCCAUGCUUGAAACUUGAGAAUCCUCAUGUUCCUCAAGACCUCAGAUGUUGCCUUCAUCCUUUUAUCUUUCGACUCCAUUAACUUUUCCUGAAACUUCUCCUGCAAGGACCCCAAAGGAACAUUUGCCAACAUAACAAUUAUUGUUGCAACUAAAGUUGCAAUGGCUGCAAGACCAAGAUUUAUGUACAAAAUCACUAGGGCCAAGCCAACUUGUAGAAUGACCAUCAAUGGUUCAUGCAUGUACCAAGAGAAGUCACCAACCCUCUCAGCAUCAACAGUCAUAAAAUUGAUAAUCUCACCGCUAGUGUGGCCCUGCUUGGACUGGCAUGACAGGGUCAAACCCUUAUUAUAGAUCGCUGUGACAAGUACCGCUCGGAUUCUUACUCCUACCUGUUGUACCUUAAAGAACCAGUGCCUUUGACAGAGGCACUCCACCAGCUUCGCAAUCAUAAAUGCAGAAACCAAAGCAUAGCCUUCAUUUUUGAAUUUUCUCCGUCCAUAGAGGUAUUGAACAAACGUGUCAAUUAGAUAUGGACCGACAUAAGAUGCCAAUGUGUUAAAUGUAGCAUAUAACCCUGUCAAGCCAACGUCUUUCCAGGCUGAGAAUAUCAAUGCCUUCGCCAGAUGAAAUGUGGUAACUCUGCCAUCCGCACCCCACUCCGCCUCCAGUUUAUUUCUAAAAUUUGGAAAGGACCCAGCUACACUAUCACCCUUGUAUAGUUCAGGAACAUCCUCAAGGUCUAAUGUCGUCUUAUUGCCAAGCGCAAUUAGAGGACCAAUCCAAGAAAAAGUAAGGAUGCUGAAAAAUCCAGCAUUUGAAUAAGGGGUAACAGGUGUACCCCCUUUGGAAUUAUUUGACACUGCAUUACCAUUACCAUUCAAAAGGGGUUCCUCAAGAACGGUAUUUCUGCCCUCUUUCUUCCCAAAAAACCCCACAAAUAUAAAGAACAAACCCGAGAUGACGCAGACAACAUCAAAAACAAAAGAUUGAACGGGCAAGGAAACGUGUUCCUUGUACAGAAGAAUAUCUAUCACAAGGGAAUAGCAAGAGAUAGAAAAGUAGGAACCCCACCAAACUCUCAAUAAAUUUGGAAACUUUGAUUCAGAAGAAUUAGAGAACUGGGUAUGCAAGUAGACACAAAGAGCACCCCAAGCAAGUGUUCUAAUGGCUAAAUCAAAAAGGGUCACUAGCUUUUCCUCAGUCCAAUCGUUUCUAUGCCAAUAGAAGUAGUUCAAUAAACAAAAAACAAGACUGAGCCCAGAAACACCAAGACAACAGAGUAAAGUUAGCUUAUAAUACCAACUUUGAAUACUCCCAAACCUCUGUUUUGGACCUUCUCCAUCACCCACCUUGAAUUUCUUCCACACCCAAGAGACGAGCAACACAAAUAACAAAACUAGGUGUAAUGAGCCAGAAAACCCACGUAUGAAAACCGGUUUGAGAAGAAAAUCGGUACCUGGAUACGUAAUGAAUGAUGAUGAGUAGUGUGAGAAGAAGGCUGAGAGAGUACCGUGCUUUGAAGAAUCAAAAAGCUCCAUAAUUUGUGGAGCUUUUUGUUGGGGCUCUCUGAAAUUCUGGUAAAUGGGCUAUUUGUUGGAAUGGUCUGAGUUUUGUAUUGAAAUGCAGGAUUUUGUAUGUUAUAUAGAGGAGGGAGAGAGAGAGAGAGAGAGAGAGAGAGAGAGAGAGAGAGAGAGAGAGAUUAGUUUGUGGACGACUCAGGGAGUGUAGUCAGAGAAUGGAGAGUCAAAUGUCAAUGUGGAUUUUUCUUGGACCGUAGGCUAACGUGGUGCCCAAGACUCACAUGACGGAGAUAGCUAUAGAUGGCUGCAUAGUGACACAGAAAAUGGUUGGUUCCAGGAAAUAUGUGAACUGAUGGUAGAGAGGGAUUGACCAAUCCAUUAUAAUCUGUCUUGUAGAGCCCACCAUAUUGUAUUUCAUCACUGCAAACUAUUUAUUUUUUAGAUAUUCAUUCGAAGAUUAACUUUGCAAAAAAUCUUUUAAAUUCGAUAUUAUUUGACCACUCAAUUAAAUUAUUGAAAUUUUAAUACUUUCUUGAAACACCAUGUUCAUUGAUUUUAUAGGACACAAUUAAAUAUCUAAAAAGUUUUCAAUUUGUCUAAUUUUUUACAAGAAUGAUCUAUGGUUUUGUGUGCACAGUAAGAGACAUUUUUGGCUCUUCAUAUGUUGGACUUACUAAAGUAAGAUAAGAAAAUAAGAAAACUAGAAGCCUGCGUGUUAUUGGUAGGCAACAAGUCCACAUAACGCCCUCCCCACUACUGGACAAAACAUUCGACAAGAACUUCGAAAUUCAAAAAGAGUUCACUGUCAUCUUUAAAAUCCCAACACAUGUUUUGACUAGAAGUAUGUGAAGUGGUGCACUCCAAGAUUCCAAAUUCCAAUCCAUUAUUAGUAUUAUUCUGUAUAUAUUUCCUUUUGAGGAAAAUUAUUAUGUAAAAUUGUUUGGGCAUGGCAAUUUUUAUAUGCGAUGCCAAAGUGACUUGGGGAGUUAAGAUUUAAGCCAUGGUCGGCACUCGGGACUGUGAUUAAAGGGGGUGGGUGGCAUGUGAUCAAAAUUAACAAAAAAUUAGAAGGGCUUAAUUCUUAUUAUCCUUAUGUUCUACAUGUAUUAAAAUGUUAAGGUAAGUUUGUUAUUUUUCAUUUCUUAAAUGAUGACUGAGAUAUUGAUCAAAUACGAAAAUUGAUAACUAAGAUUUUGUUAAUGGGAGCUGUUAGUGGCAAUAAAAAAUGUCAUCUUGCACUCAUCCUUUGUAAUUAUAUAAGAGAAAAAUACAUGAUGGUUCUUUUAAGAGCCAAAAACAGUUACUUUUAAUUAUAAUUUGAAAAUUAGAACAAAAAAAGUUGAUAUAGAUACAAAUUCUCAUUGAGGAGUUGGGGUUAAUUCUUAGAUUUGAUGACUUUGAUCUAAGUCCUUUGACUUUUCUGCCACAUAAGAUUACAUUCCUUUUUAAAUACAUUCUAAUGUAAUCUUUUUAUAUUUUUAUUUUUAAAAUUAUUUUUGUUCCAAUGAUGCCCUUAUGACUUAAAUCGGGUAAUAGUGAUUUCUGUCAUAAUAAUUAGCCAUUUACAACGUUUGGUAUUGAAUAGAAAAGGCAAAUACGGCAGAUGGGGUAAGUUAUUUGUAUCGUUUGGCAUUGACAUAAUUGAUAGCUUAUUUCUUUUUUAGUUUGUCCAUUAGGGGGUGUAUUCAAUUGAGAUUUUAAAAGACUAUUUUGGGAUAAAAAUGUAUUUUGGUAUUCAAUUAAAACUUUUAAAUAAUCUAAACAAGUCUUGUGGUGUUCCAUUAAGACUAUUAGGAUUUUUAAAAGAGGGUGUCGAAAUCACGUGGUAUUCAAUCAAGACAUCCAAUAAUUUUUUCCUCUACUUUAAUUGUUAUUUUAUCUUCAACAGAGCAAAACAUCCCCAUAAACUUGGGUUGGUGCUUUUUUCAGAGCAAAACCUUUCUUCCCUUUUUAAUUUGCAUAUCGUUGAUCUCCAGGUAGUGAGCUUUAAUCAAACACAAACCAAAUUGUCUUCUUGUUGUGGGAAAGCUUGGAACUUCUUCUCGAUAAUUACAUGAAUUACCUGCCUUUGAUUCUUUCGUUUCAUAUAUUUUUUUUCGGCUGUCCAUCUCAUGAUGAACAUCAUUGAACGAUUUUGGCUAUUAUGGUGCAACAGUAAGAAGAACCUAGAGAACUCUAGGAUUUCCUCUACGCCUUUUCAAGAGAGUUGUGCACCAGUUUUGAUUUUUUUGGUGGUUUGCCCACCAUGACAAUCAAUCCACACGAAUUGCUGUUGAAUUGGAGGUUGGACACAUCCUUGAAAGCAUUUGAUCAGAGUUGCUUGUUGGAAUAGAAUAUAUGACGAUUGAAAUCAUCAUAGAAGACAAUUUCUCCUGUUGAUUGUGGACUGGUUGUUUGAAAACAUCACUGGAAAUAUUUGAGCGGAGCCAAGUCUUAGAGAGAUCCCUGACUAUUUUUAUGAUGAUAGAAAUCAUCAUAGCCAGGGACGCUUGGGUUGAUCGAAACCUGGAGUCCUGAGCAAACAAGAAAACUGUGCCAUAGAACUAAGAUUUUACCUUGAGAUGGCUUUUGAUUUCUCUAGUAUGCUUGUUGUCUUUCUUUUCUUCCUGCAGCUAUUCUCUUUUCUGCUCCUUCCCCCUUUUUUAAUCACAGGCAUGACUCUUUUAUAGGCCAUGAGUUUUAAGGAGUUUGAGAUUGAGUGAACUAUCACUCCUUGGUCUUAGUGUUUGAUACAAACACUCUAAGUACAACCAUUGCAUCAAAAGGACUUUUAUUCCUUUUAAACACCUGCCGGAUGAAUUAUUAUUGUUGUCACUCACUUUUAAUAAAUUUCCAUGUAGACAGCCAUCCCUAUUUAAUUCAUAAAAAUUAUCGUUUCAGCAUGCGGGGUUUUGUCCAAUCAUGCGAAGAGAAGUUGUUUGUAUACCAAAGCCUCACACCCAAUUGCUGAACUCCAAUUUUCUCACUCUAUCUCUAAUGGUGGAGCAAAUAGCUCUCCCUCUGCUCAUUCACAACCCACCACAAAUUUUUGUUAAAAAAAUUAUAACCUACACUGCAUAUGUCUAGCCCACUUAAAUUAAACCUAUACAAAUCUAUCAAACAUACCAUCCCAUCCUCCUGUGUAGUUCUUCUCCUCCUCUGCAAAACAGACAUAAUUGCCAGCAACUCCGCUCAACUUCUUUGCAGCCAACAACUUCUCUUCUUUGCAACAACAAGUAUUCUUCUCAUUCUCUCCUUUUUAAUUAUCUUAUGCAUAUUUAAUUUGAAUAGAAAAUGUUCUAGGGUUUAAUUAGGAAUGACUUAUAAUUUGGAGAUUUUGUUGAAAUUAAUUAGGGCUUUGAUUUUAGGAAUUUUGUUGAGAUGUUUGAUUUGUUGUUGGUAUUGUUGAGAUGUUUGAUUUGUGUGUUGGUAUGUUUGAUUAAAUGCAUUAAUUUGUUGUUGGUAUUGUUGAGAUGUUUGAUUUGUGUGUUGGUAUUUUUGUUGAAAUGUUUGAUUAAAAUCAUUUCUACAUAUUAUUUAUUUUAUAGGUUAUUUUUUAUUAUGUCGGAUCACAAUCGGAACCCCAAGAAAAUUAAGACCUUGUUGUCUUUUUUUAAGAAAAAGAAUGAUGGUUAAUCAUUAAUACAAAUAUCAACUAUUUUGAACGAUGAUCUAGGAGUAUGUCAUCUAAUGUGCAAAUAUUUGGUGAAAGAACAAUAUAAUGUGCGAAGAACAUAUAUUCUUUUAGGGGCAUGUCAAUCUGAGUUAGAACAUUAUCCAAGCCACUUAGAAGAAAUAAUCUUACGUUGAUUUAAUAAAAAGUGGUUUGGCCAAUUCUCUUGACUUGAGUACUCAGUUGCAAAGAACUAGGCAUUUUGUUUUUCUUAUUUCCUAAUUGAUAGAAUGAAUAAUUUUCGGCCUUGUUUUCCUUGGUUCCUAUAUACAGCAACAACGGAACGAGCUUUCGCAUGUAUGAGAAUUAUUGAAUCGACUUUGAAACACUGUAUGUGAUGAAUUUCUUGCUCAUUGUAUGAUCCUCCACAUUGAAAGAGGGUUUGCCAAUACUAUUGACCAUGCAUCAAUAAUUUAGGAAUUUAAGAAUCCUAAGCCUCGUAGGGCUAAAUUUUAUAUUUAAAUAGUUUUGUUUUGUAUUGCAUUGCGUUGCAUUUACUUUUGGUUUUUAUUUUAGUUUUUGUAUUUGUAGAUAUAUAUAUGCUCAUUACACACACCUACACCCCUCCACCCCUCCCAACUAUAUGUCUCUUUUUAUGUUUAUUAAUGAAAUUCACUACGAUCUACUCUAGCAAAUGCUUUAACAAAACUUCUUGUAAAUAGGGAAAGGACAAAGUUGUUAUUCUGUGUGGGAAUAGCUAGGUGAUGAUACUAAGGCAAUGCUAAGGUGAUAGUAAGUGGGUUGGAAAGAGUAUGAGACCCAAAUGGGAUUAUGUCCUAACACGUGACUCCAACCUUGGCAAGCCCUGGUCCCACCACCGCACUUCCUCUCAAGGUCAGCAUAUCCUCCAUUCCUUUCUCGACCCAUAAUUUGAUUCUUCUAAAAUAGAUGAGCAGCUUUUGGGUAAAUUAAGAGCAAGACCCACCAUGAAGUGAUGUGGUGAAUGCUUAAAUGUGAAUAUGGUUUGAAUGUAUUAGGUUAUUUUUAUUCUUCUCCAUAAGGAGGUAUAUAUAAGAGUUUACAUGUGCUAUACAAGGAAUUAGAUACAGUAAAAAUUUAGGAAAGUAUCUUCUAAUUAUACAAUGAUUUAUCAACUAUAUAAAAAUAGGAAAGUAAAUCCAUUAAUUAAUCAAGGAAGUAAAUCUCCUUGAUUAAUUAGGAGACUCACGUCAACACUCCUCCUCAAGUUGGUGCAUAUAUGUCACCAAUGCCCAACUUGGUAAGUGAAUCAUAAAAUACUCUUCCACAAACAGCUUUGGUUAAGAUAUCUGCCAAUUGAUCUUCUGAUUUUACGAAUGGUAGGCGGAUAAUCUUCUUCUCAGGUUUUUGUUUGAUAAAAUGUCUAUCCACCUCAACAUGUUUAGUUCGAUCAUGUUGAACUGGAUUAUGGGCAAUAUCGAUGGCUGACUUGUUAUCACAAUGUAACUUCAUUGGCUUUUCUGGCUUGAACCCCAAUUCUAUCAAUAGUCUUCUUAUCCAUAGUAAUUCACAAAUUCCUUGAGUCAUUCCAAGAUACUCUGCUUCAGCACUAGAUCAAGAAACUACAUUUUGUUUCUUACUCCACCAAGUGACUAGGUUACCUCCCACAAAAGUGAAGUAACCUGAAGUAGAGCGUCGAUUAGUAAUGGAGCCAGCUCAAUCAGCAUCUGUAUAUCCAACAACUUCGAGAUCUCUAUUUUUGAAGAACAUUAACCCUUUCCCAAGUGCUGACUUUAAGUAUCUUAAGAUCCGAUCAACUGCAUUCCUAUGAGAAACAUUGGGCGAAUGCAUAAACUGACUAACCACACUCACAGUAUAUGCAAUAUCUGGUCUUGUGUGAGCUAAAUAUAUCAAACUUCCAACAAGGUGUUGGUACUGUUCCUUAUUGGUUGGUUCUUGAUCUAUGUCUUCACAUAACUUGUGAUUCAUCUCGAUGGGUGUAUCAACAGGUUUGCAUCCAAGCAUUCUUGUUUCAGUGAGCAGAUCUAAUACAUACUUUAUUUGAGACAGAAAUAUACCAAUUGUGGACCUGACUACUUCAAUUCCUAGAAAGUACUUCAGAUCACCUAAAUCUUUCAUCUCAAAUUCCUGAGACAAAUACUUCUGCAAUUUCAGUUGCUCUCCUGUGUCGUUUCCAGUUACGACUAUGUCAUCCACAUAAACAAUCAAUACAGUAAGUCUUCUUCCAUCACGCUUCAAGAACAAAGUGUGAUCUGCAUUACUCUGUAUAUAUCCAAAAUUCUUUAUUGACAGGACCCGCCCCGAAUUUCCCGAAACCCGAGACGAAUCCCGAAAAUUCUUUAUUGACAGGACCCACUUCUAGAACUAUACCCCUUUUUUCCAAAAUGGAAUAAGGGUACGAGACUUUCUGCUGAAAUUUCGGCAGAGUCUCCCCUGUAAAUUGAACAUUGCCCAAAAUUUCAACAUGCAUAAAAACACAUUUAAUAUCCACAACUGGCAGCAUGCACAAUAUAAUUUCAUGCAAUUCACAUAAACGGCCUUCGACUUUCGGCCUUCGACCUUCCAAUAAUUCUCAACUACCAAGCAUGCUAACAAAUCAAUUCAUGCCUUAAACAAGGCAAACGAUAAAUUCAAAUAUGAAUUAUGACUACUAAAUUUCAACAUGCAUCUUUUAACUUUUCCAAUCCAAAUAUACAAGGUUUUAACCUCUUAACAUAAUCACAUCUAUGUCCGCGACGGCACCUAAUAACCUUAGGCUGCCUACGUACCCUCAUGAGUGAUCAACCCAUACGUAGUUCUUUCCUAAAGCCCAAUUCCACACAUAGGCAAUAACUUUAUUCAUAUCUCAGUAUUUCACAUUAUCUCCCCAUACGUCGGUACUACCAACACCACGUAUGGGGUCUGUCCGCUGGAUAACCUACACCACGUGCGACCUCACCAUAUUAUGGCAUAAUCUCCCCAUACGCCAUGUACGGGGCCUGUCAACACGCCGGAUUACCUACGCCACGUGCGACCUCACCAUAUUAUCACAUAAUAUCCCCAUACGAUUAAUCAUUAUUUAAAAUAAUAUUUAAAAGUUUCCUAUAAUACAAAUAAACACUCUAAAAAUCCCAACUUAGUCAACACAGCUCAACAACGCUCAAGACCUGUCAUUAGGGUCAUUAUGAUCCUUUUAGGAAGGUAAAACUACCGCGAAAGACUCAAGGUCAACCAAGAGUCAAACUACCCACACUUGGUCAAACGGGCCUACGGGCCCACGACCUCAAAAUUCCGAUCCGAAGGUUCCUAUGGGUUCUACAAGGUAUAGGACACUCGUCCUGCAAGUUUAGUCUAGAUUGGACAGUCAGAUAGCUCAUGAUCGCACGAUCUGAAGGUUAAUAUAAAACAUAAACUUUAAAUUAUUUAAUCGGAACAUCCGGGGUUCUGAUUCACAAUCCGUGAAUUCCUACACGAUCCUAGAAAUACCUAGAUUAACAUAUAUUAAAUUUGAGACCAUUCAACGUUCCCAACCUAUCGAACCCGGAUAACGCGCAAUAGGCGAUAUCCGUUCGAGACUCAAACGGUAUCUGAAUUGAGAUCCGUAAAAUCCUACGCACUCGUGACAACCUAAGNNNNNNNNNNNNNNNNNNNNNNNNNNNNNNNNNNNNNNNNNNNNNNNNNNNNNNNNNNNNNNNNNNNNNNNNNNNNNNNNNNNNNNNNNNNNNNNNNNNNGCAACUUCACUACCCUCGCCCACGCGCCGGCAGUGCUGGGUGCCCAAAGCAAUUACGCAUCGCCGAAAAAUCAUAAAAUCACGGCUUCAAACUCCUACCCUAUGUAUAACACCCUUUUGUUCUUGGACCUACCCCAAAAACUGACCGGAAGUGGCCGGAAUCGUGAUCCUAAAACCGGCCAAAUUUCAAUUCGUAAAUCGAAUUACCUAUGCUAAGAAUCGAUCGAAUCUUACCCAAUAGGCAGCUAGAGCAUGAAAAGUAGGUGAGAAACCAUACCUCACUCGUCGGAAUCGGUGCCCGGAGGAGGGAGAUCGACGGCGGAGAAGUUCGGACGACACCGGCCGCUUCUUCUCCAUUUUUCGGCGAAACCACGGCGGCUAGCGGCUGGACCUGGUUGGGGUUGGAAGAGGACGACGCCUCGGUUAUUUUGGUACCGGCCCCGUCGUCAUCGGUGGCCGGAUAAGGGAACGGCCGGCCAAAAUGUGGCCGGCUGCCGAUGUACGCGAGAGAGAGAGAGAGAUAUAUAUAUAUAUAUAUAUAUGAUUUUUAUAAAAAAAAAAAUCUCAUUUUGAAAUAAUUAUGAUUGUGCCACUGAGUUUCUUUUAACCAUAUCUCUCUCGUUACAACUCCGAUUCGAGCCCACCGCGUGUCUACGGACUCAUCUCAGUACGACCUUCCCAAAAAUACUAGUCACUGCCCCAAACUCCUUUCGGGUAAGAAAAUGACCAAAUUACCCCUACAUCAAGGGUAAAUUUAUAAUUUCACUUAAAUAAUUUAAAUAAGGGAUUGAAUUUGGAGUCGGGGUGUUACAUUUAUGGAUUUAGUGAAUCUGCCAAACCAUAUCCUAGGGGAUUGCUUUAACCCAUACAAUGACUUUCUGAGCUUGCAAACUUGAUCCUCCUUGUCACGAGCUAAGUUACAUCCUAGUGGCAAGUCCAUAUAUACUUCUUCUUCCAAGUCUCCAUGUAAGAAGCAUUUUUGACAUCAAACUGAUGUAAUGGCCAAUCGAGAUUUGCGGCUAGAGACAGAGGGGCUUUGAUAGUUUUAAUCUUGGCUACUGGGGUAAAGGUCUCUUGGUAAUCUAUUCCAUAUCUUUGCGUGUACCGUUUCGCCACCAAUCUAGCUUUAUAUCUUUCAGUAGAUCUAUCUGCUUUGAGUUUCAUAGUAUAAAUCCACCUACAUCCCACUGUCUUCUUUCCAUGAGGUAAUGGCAUGAGUUCCCAUGUGCCAUUCUUCUGGAGAGCUCGCAUUUCUUCAUUCAUGGCUUCUUUCCAUUUUGAGUCUUCUAGUAUUUCAGUUACACUGUUGGAAAUAGGUAUGUAGGCCAACUGCUUCACAAAGUGUACCCGUGACUCUAAUAGUCUGCUGAUGGAUACAUAAUUGUUGAUGAGAUAUUUCCUUUUUGCAUUAAGAUCUGCUUUGUAGUGAACUGGAGGUUUUCCACGGUUCUUUCAUUUUGGAAGCUAAUAUGCAGGCUCUAUGCCUUCUAAAAUUAAAUCAUCAUGGGAUAUUUCAUUAAUGUUAUUAGUUUCAGGAGAAGAUGUUACCUGAAUGACGUCCUCAGCAGGUGAUUGGUGUGGUAUUGGAGCUAAAGAAUUCUCCUGUGUUGGCAAAACCUCCUCAAUGAUGAUCUCCUCCUGAGUUUGACAGCAGGGAGACGAUCGGUCUCUGUCCUCUGGCGACCGGUCGUUUUUGCACAGAGUUUAAUUUUCGGGGGGCGACCGGUUAAUUCCACUUGCGACUGGUCGCUUUUGCACAGAGUACAAUUCUUGCUGGGCGACCGGUCGUUUUCAAUCUGGGACGUUUCUGCAGGAAAAAAUUCAGAAAUUGGAAAGUCUUGGCAUUUUGAUCCUCUUCCUGGACGACUGAAAAAUAUGUCGGAUUCCCAUAACACAACAUCCAUAGAAGUAUAGACUUUCUGACUCGGAGGAUGAUAACAUCAAUACCCUUUCUGAUGAGGUGCAUAGCCGAUGAAAACACAUUUUUUGGCGCGGGGAUCCAAUUAGCUGCGUUGGUAAUUAUGUAAGUGGACGAAGACCACACAGCCAAAGAUUCAGGGUUCCAGGUUUUUAGUAUGAGGUAUUUGGAGAUAGUGGUAGAGUGUUUGAAGGGGGUUUGGAAAUUGAGGAUACUGGAGGGAAUCCGAUUGAUAAGGUAUGCUACAGAGAGGAUGGCUUCUCCCCAAAAGGACUGAGGCAUAUUGGCACCAAAGAGAGAGGCACGAACCACUUCCAAUAAAUGUCUAUUCUUUCGUUCAGCCACACCAUUAUGUUGGGGAGUGUAAGGGCAUGCGCGUUGAUGUAUGAUGCCAUGAUCUUGUAAGAACUGAUUAAGAUCAUGAUUGAAAAAUUCUUCGCCAUUGUCAGACCAAAGAACCUGAAUUCUGGUAUGAAAUUAUGUCUCUACCAUUUGAUAGAAUGUUGAAAUUUGGAAUUGACUUCCCCAUUUGUUUGGAGAAGAGAAACCCAGGUCAUAUGUGUGCAAUCAUCAAUAAAUGUGACAAACCAUCUAGCACCCUCAGGAGUGGUAAUUUUAGCCGGGCCCCAAACAUCAGAUUGACAGAGAAAAUGGAACUUNNNNNNNNNNNNNNNNNNNNNNNNNNNNNNNNNNNNNNNNNNNNNNNNNNNNNNNNNNNNNNNNNNNNNNNNNNNNNNNNNNNNNNNNNNNNNNNNNNNNUAACUGGGAAAAUAAGGAAGGAAAUAGCUUAUGUAAAUAUCCAAACGACGCGUGUCCAAGACGUCGAUGCCAUAACCAUACUUCAGAAGUUUACUUCUCAACACUCGUACCCCCAAUUUUGUAAGCUUGACUGAGGCUAGCUUCACUGUCAGAGGCGAGGUCUAGAUAGUAGAGUUUGCCCCUCUUAGUACUACAACCAAUAGUCUUGUUGCUGAGGAUGUCCUGAAAAACACAAUGAGUAGGCCAAAAGGUUACAGUGCAAUUCAAAGCCGUAGUAAUUUGGGCAACAGACAAAAGAUUAUGAUGUAAGGAUGGAACAAUCAACACAGAAUCCAAAGUGAGAGUCAGAAAGAGAGAGAGUGAACACUCCCCAAUUACUAGGGAAGGGAUACCAUUGGCAUUAGACACCACCGAUUGAGAAGACGGUGUAUGAGAGGUAAGUUGUCCAGGAUCAAAGGUCAUGUGAUCAGUGGCUUCGGUGUCAAUGACCCAGAUGUGUUUCUUUGAAGAACUAUGCAAAACAUAACCGCGGGAACCUGUUGUGGCAAUUUUUGAGGAUGAGGAAGUGAAGGCAGCAGUUUGGGAAGAUGAAACGAUAUUCAUGGCAGCGGAAGGAUUUAAGAAGAAGAGAACAAAAAAAAAAAAAGAAUUUGUGUUUAGGGUUUUGUGAUAAGAGGAUAUGAAGAUUUGGGUAUGAAGAUCUGAAUUUGAAAUUGUAAAUAUGAGGAAUUUGAUUUAGGGUUUGGGUGUGAAGAAAUUUGAUAUGGGGAUUUAAGGUUUGUGUUUGAAGAAAUUUGAUAUGAGGAUUUAGGGUUUGUGUUUGAAGAAAAUUUAAUAUGAGAAUUUAGAGACAACCGAGGAUCGAUUGCUCUGAUAUCAUGCUUAAAUAUGAAUAUGGUUUGAAUGUAUUAGGUAAUUUUUAUUCUUCUCUAUAAGGAGGUGUACAUAAGAGUUUACAUGUGCUAUAUAAGGAAUUAGAUACAGUAAAGAAUUAGGAAAGCAUCUCCUAAUUAUAUAAUGAUUUAUCAACUAUAUAAAAAUAAGAAAGUAAAUCCCUUAAUUAAUCAAGGAAGUAAAUCUUCUUAAUUAAUUAAGAGACUCAGGGUCAACAGUGAAUAUGGUUUUCUGUGCACAGCAAGAUAAUUGACAAUUUUGAAUCUUCUUGUGUUAAAUCAUACGUUGGACUUACUAAAGUAAAAUAAGAAAAUAAGAAAACUAGAAGCCUGUGUAUUAUUGGUAGGCAACAAGUCAACAUAACACCCUCCCCCCUAUUGGACAAAACAUUCAACAAGAACUUCGAAAUUCAAAGAGUUCACUGUUAUCUUUUAUAUCCCAACACAUGUUUUGACUAGUAUGUGAAGUGGUACACUCCGAGAUUCCAAAUUCCAAAUUCCAAUUCAUUAUAUCUACGGUAGAGAGAGAUAGACCACCAAUCCAUUAUUCCAACCAUAGUCUGAAAUAUCGAUAAUUUUGACGAAAUAUCGAGGAUAUUUUGGUUUUUUCGAAUCACAGAUAUUUUGGAACAUAUCCAUGUACAUAUCGUAUAAAUAUCGACAAUAAUAUCGAUGUGAAGGGAGAAAAGAAAAGUAAAAAAAAAGAAGGGAAAAAGGGGUAGAAAAAAGCACAAAGGGGAUAUGAACCUCUCCCAUUUUACUCCUCCAACACCUUAAACACCAUAUCACUUAUGCUUUUGUGAUAAUAUGCUAAAAUAUUUAUAUUUAUAUGGGUGGUAUGUUAAUAAUUAUAUGCAAAACUAUUUUUGGGAUUUAUCAUUUGAUGACUACUCUUCACAAUACACUUACUCUACACAUAGAGAUGAUGAAGAUAGUGAAAAAUUUGAACCUCAUAGGAACUCUAUGUGGUACUAAGUCACUCAUGUAUCUUACCAUGCAAUGUAUAAAGUAUAAAAUAUUGUAGCAAAUCAUUAUAUAUAAAUGAUUAUGGUGUGUUUAAUAUUUUUUCAUUAAUUAACAACUUAAAUUACUUAAAUCCAUCACGCAAUGCAUUUCCUUCUAAUCUUUUGUAAUAAACUCAUAGAUACUUGACUAAAUAAACAUUCUCCAAAGUUUCAAUAAAAAUUUCCAAGUUUUUCUUACAAUUUCCGUGGUUUUUAUUCAAUUUUUAUCGAUAUCAAUAAUAUCCCGAUAUUUCCAUCGAAAUUUCCAUAUUUUUGGACUACCUAUAUUUCCGAUAUCAUUGAUAUUUUAGACCUUGAUCCCAACACAUGUUUAAACAAAAUUAAUAUUAUUCUAUAUAUAUCCUUUUUAGGAAAAUUAUUAUGUAAAAUUGUUUGGGCAUGGCAGAAAUGUAAUCACAAAACAAUCAUUUUAUAUGCGAUGCCAAAGUGACUUGGGGAAUUAAGGUUUGGGCAUGGCAGGAAUGGAUAGCCAUGGUCGGCACUCGGGACUGUAAUUAAAGGGGUAGGUGGCAUGUGAUCAAAAUUAACAAAAAUGUUAAGGUAAGCUAAAUGAGAUAUUGAUCAAAUAAGAAAAUUGAUAAAUAAGAUUUUGUCAACGGGAGCUGUUAGUUUUUAAAUUUCAGAGAGACGGGCCAGUGGCUCAUUACUAGCAACACUGAUAAUGUUCCUAACUUAACCACCUACAGAGUUCAGUAAGUGUGAGGUUUUAUCACAAAAGGCCUCAGUGUUAUUAGUGUUGAGGCCCAAAAAAUCCACGCUUCGGCCCAAAUAAAUUCUCAGCCCAAUGCGAUAUCUUACCGAGAAGAAACCCAAUUUGGGGCACGCGAAAGUUUGCCAUAUGCGCUUAUACACAUGCCACGCCAAGCAAAUAAACAACAUGUCAUGCUACAAGCUUAAGUGGGCCCAAGCCACGCAAGAUGCCCGGGGCUUGCUUGAGUGGGUUGUGGUAUGGAUGGUAAUAGGUCGUCAUGAGGCCCAUUGAUGGGUCAAGAAAUGGAGGUUCCGGGUUGCUUGGGAGCCUCGGAACCCAAGCCCAUUUCUUAGGCCCAAACAUGUGGGUGAGCACAAAAGGGAAAAUAACUCAAUCAAAAUAACCCAACCAAAAUUAGCCCAGUCAAAGGAUAGCCCAACCAAAAGCCCAAUGUUUAAAUAGCCCACUUAUUUAAAUGAAGUACCUUAGCCCAUACAAAAUUCCACAAUAAGCCACAAAAGCCUCAGCCCUUUGCUAGAAAAGUAGAAGCCACGUAAAAGAGGUCUGCAGGUUCACUGAACAGAGUUAUUGGGAAGUGCCAGCACAUGGGAAUGGAUCAAGUUCCAAAACAAAACACCAGAGAAACCAAGGGAUGUUAACAUGCAAGCUACCAGGAAGAGAGACACUCUUCAAACCAACAUACAUAUCCCAACUCCUUCCCUAUCAAAACUGGUUAUAGGAAAGAGUGAGAAAGAAAGGAAGAAAAUGGCUGGAAGUAGAAAUCUUCUACUGAAGCAGCCGCAGGAAAGGAGGCCUUGAGCUCCAAAAUCCCUGAUUUUGUGCAAAUAGAUAGAGAAAAAUCUCACUAAAACAGGAAAAGUCAAGAGAGGAAAGGAAAAGGGAAGGAAAACCUUGCUAAGUUAGGGAAUAAACCAUUAGGGUUUCUUGGGGAAUGAAGGUCUCCCGCAGCUAUAAAAGGAGGUCCCUUCCACCUAGCAAAAACCAACCCAGGCUGAGAGAGCAAGCUCCCUCUCUUACUUGCAAAAAUCCAGUAGCCCUAUUCACUCUUCUUCUUCGUUCUUCUCUGUUAACAGACUAUUUUCAGAGUCUGUCAAGCUGCCGGAAGAAGUAAUGCCCUUCCUUUACCCCUUUUUAGCCAAGAUCAUCCUGCAGACCUUGUCUCCCUCAUCUUAAACACUCCCAUUUCUCCCUAGGAAGCCUUAUUUUCCUCUUUGGUGCUCAACUCAUGCUGACCUUGCUCCCAUGCCACAAUCUCCUCAUGCUAAGCUAAAACUUUAUCUGUAAGCAAGCAUAAAUCACCUGUAAGCAGCCAUCAUUUUCGUUGGUGAAGGUAACCAGAACACUUCCUAAGGCUUUACUGCCCUUUCGAAGUGCUUUUGGGGCUUAAUUUUCGAACUCAGGCACAGGGGGCAAUUCCAGUAAUUUCCCCUUUACGGCAGCCCAGUCUAUUUGCAGCUGCCGGAAGAAAAAGACCCCCACAAUUAGUAGUAGAACUAUUUAUUAUAUUUUGUAUUUUAUUUAGUCAAGUUUUCAAUUUGUGACUCAUAGUCUUCAAAACUCCCCCUCACAUGGGACUCCCACACAGUAGGUCACAUGUGGAGCCAAGUCCACAUCGGAGUCAAACAUUCAAGCCCAACACGUGAGCACCACAUAUUGGAUAAGGGUAAACAUUCAAGUCCAACAUGUGAACACCACAUGUUGGGUAAAUGGUAAGGGUAAAAGCCCAGUAAUUCAGGCCCAAUCAAUCCACCCACUCAUACACCAUGUUAAAUUUCAAAGACACGGGCCAGCGGCCCACUACUAGCAACACUGAUAGUGUCCCCAACUUAACCACCUACAAAGCUCAGUAGGUGUGGGGUUUUAUCACAAAAGGUCUCGGUGUUAUUAGUAGUAAAACUAUUUAUUAUAUUUUGUAUUUUAUUUAGUUAAAUUUCCGAUGUGGGACUCAUAUUCUUCAACAUUAGUGACAAUAAAAAAUGUCAUCUUGCACUCAUCAUUUGUAAUUAUAUAAGGGAAAAAUACAUUAUGAUUUUUUUAAGAGCCAAAAAUAAUUCCUUUUAAUUAUAAUAUGAAAAUUAGAACAUAAAAAGUUGAUAUAGAUACAAAUUUUUAUUGAGGAGUUAGGUUUAAUCUUCAAAUUUGAUGACUUUGAUUUAAGUCCUUUGACUUUUGUACUACAUAGGAUUAUAUUCAUUUUUAAAUAUAUUUGGAUGUAAUCUUUUCAUUUUUUUAUUUUUAAAAUUAUUUUUGUUCCAAUGAUGCCCUUAUGACAUAAAUCGGGUAAUAAUGAUUUAGCUAUUUACAACGUUUGGCAUUGAAUAGAAAAGGCAAAUACAACAGACGGGAGAAGCUAUUUAUAUCAUUUGCAAUUGAUAUAAAGAAAAAUUAGGUUUUAGACAUAAUUAACUUUAUUAAUUAGUUUGUAAGAUAUUGGAUAUUUUGGUUUUAGUUUUAAUACCUAGGAAAAAAUUACUAUUUUGGAUUAGCCCAAAGAGAGGCCCAGAUUCGUUGACCCAUUUGUAAACCUAUACAGUAAAUGACGCUUUUGCCCCUGAAUGUUUAAACAAGGCGCGACUUCUCUGUUUCGUUUUCGUUCUCGUUCGUUUGGCAGCAGCUUCGUGUUCUUCUCUGUUUCGUCUUCGAGCUCAGUUGUUUGGUAGCAGAUUUCGUUCGUUUGGCCGGCAAAUUUCGUUCGACGACGAGCAGCAACGACGAGCAGCAACGACGACGAGCAGUAACGACGAGCAGAAACCACCACCAACAACGACAACCACUGACGACUAUCGAAGCGAUUUUCACUCUCUUGGGAAAAAAAACAGUAAGAAAAUGACCCUCUAACACAGAUUUGUCUUCGAUUUUAGGGAUUACACAUUUUUGCUGUUGUUCUUUAUGCAAUGCAGUUUUUGGAAAAAUGGAUGAAUCGUUGGAUUCAAAACUACUCUUCGUUUAGGUUUUGCUUCGUUUAUAGGGAUUAACCAUUCAAAAUCGUUGGAUUCAAAAUUUCUGGUUGUUUGUACUAAAUUUUGAACCAGAAACUGCAUUGCAGUUUCUGGUUCCAUAAUUCAAUUUCAGAGUGCUUUUUGCUAGGGUUUAUGGGAAUAUUAUAACUGCUCAUGAAGUCAAACGUGUUUUGAUAUUCAGUACUGUCUUUGCAUUUUGAUUUCUGGUUGUUUGUAGCAAAUUUUGAACCAGAAACUGCAAUGCAGUUUCUGGUUCCAUAAUUCAAUUUCAGAGUGCUUUUUGCUAGGGUUUAUGGGAAUGUUAUAACUGCUCAUGAAGUCAAACGUGUUUUGAUAUUCUGUUUUUGUUUGUUGUUUUGUUUGCAUUUUCAAGGCUAAUGGAGGUGUGUGUCAUUGCCAAGUGCACAUAUAAGUCGGAAACCAUCAUGUUUUCAGUUUCAUCAGAGUCAUCCAUGGUUGAUAUUUUGAAGACUUUGUGUCUGAGGUUUAGGGGUUUGCAGUUGGGUUGUUUCACAUUACGGUAUUCGGUGCCCAGUUAUCCGAGUUGUUUUCUAGAAACGGAUAGCGAUUUGGACUUGAUGAGGACAUUUUUGUUGAUAUCAAAUGAGAAGACUGUUGAUAUUUUAGUGAAGGAUUUAUGCGGGAGCAGUGAAUAUAGUGGUGAUUUUUGUGUAAAUAAGGAGUUGAUAGCAUGUGAAAAGGGCGAGUCGUCGUGUUCUAGUACUGUCGAAGACAGAAACGAGUUUUUGGGCAGGUCGAAGAGAGCAAGUGCUAAGCCUUUGUUGUCGAAUGAGUGGGAGACAUACAUACAUCAUGUGGGGCAGAAGUUUGAAGGUGGUGCAGAGGAGUUCCGGUUGAAAUUGUGCAAGUACGCUCUUGAAGUAGGAUUUAAUUUUGAAUAUGCCGGCAAUGACAAGAAGCGGGUGGUUGCUGUUUGUUCGAAUAAGAAAUUGGAGGGUUGCAGCUGGCGUGUUUAUGCUUCUCGUUGUGAAGCUACUGGCAGUUUUGUAAUUCGGACAUUAAAUAAUGUUCAUACAUGUGCGGGUCGGAUACGGGAAUCAAAGAGUAAGAUGAUGAGGUCUCGUGUGGUGUCCUCCCUCAUUGUGGACAGAAUUCGUGCAAAACCAGAGCUGAAGCCAGUUGAGAUUAUACACGAGUUCAAAGAUUAUUAUGGUAUAGACAUUUCAUACUACCACGCAUGGUUUGGCAAAGAGUUAGCUAAAUUGGACGUUCACGGUGAUGAGUCGAAGUCCUUCAACGAGUUAGUGUGGUAUGUGGACGCCGUAAAGGAAACUAACACUGGUUCUCUCUGCACUCUUGAUUGUGAAGCUGGAAUUAAUCGCUUUCGACGGUUUUUUGUGUCUUUUGGCGGUUGCAUUGCUGGAUUUCAAUAUUGCAUACCCUUGUUGUUCAUUGAUGCUACGUUUUUGAAGAGCAAGUACAAGGGGCAGCUUCUGUGUGCUUCGGGAAAGAAUGGAAAUCAAGGUAUGGUUACUGUAAUGUAUUGCAGAUUUUCAUUUGUUGCAAUUUUUAGCAGAAACUGCAUUGCAGUUUCCCUUUUUUGAGCAGAUUUGUUUUCAUAAACUGCACUGCAGUUUCCCUUUUUUGCUUAUACUUGUGCUUUUGGUUUUGUUUUGCAGGGUUUUAUCCUCUAGCUUUUGGAGUUGUUGAUUCUGAGACAGAGGAGAAUUGGACUUGGUUUCUUCAACAUUUGGCUUCUAUAUUGCUACCGAUGGGGAGAGUGGUGACCUUUUUCUCGGACCGCAAUCAAGGUUUGUUAAAUGCAAUGGGGUUUGUGUUUCCCGGAUGGCCUCAUUCUUACUGUUAUUAUCACCUCAAACAGAAUUUGAUAUCAAAGUACCCGAAGUCAGGUUAUGGAAAACUGCUCCAAGACCGNNNNNNNNNNNNNNNNNNNNNNNNNNNNNNNNNNNNNNNNNNNNNNNNNNNNNNNNNNNNNNNNNNNNNNNNNNNNNNNNNNNNNNNNNNNNNNNNNNNNNNNNNNNNNNNNNNNNNNNNNNNNNNNNNNNNNNNNNNNNNNNNNNNNNNNNNNNNNNNNNNNNNNNNNNNNNNNNNNNNNNNNNNNNNNNNNNNNNNNNNNNNNNNNNNNNNNNNNNNNNNNNNNNNNNNNNNNNNNNNNNNNNNNNNNNNNNNNNNNNNNNNNNNNNNNNNNNNNNNNNNNNNNNNNNNNNNNNNNNNNNNNNNNNNNNNNNNNNNNNNNNNNNNNNNNNNNNNNNNNNNNNNNNNNNNNNNNNNNNNNNNNNNNNNNNNNNNNNNNNNNNNNNNNNNNNNNNNNNNNNNNNNNNNNNNNNNNNNNNNNNNNNNNNNNNNNNNNNNNNNNNNNNNNNNNNNNNNNNNNNNNNNNNNNNNNNNNNNNNNNNNNNNNNNNNNNNNNNNNNNNNNNNNNNNNNNNNNNNNNNNNNNNNNNNNNNNNNNNNNNNNNNNNNNNNNNNNNNNNNNNNNNNNNNNNNNNNNNNNNNNNNNNNNNNNNNNNNNNNNNNNNNNNNNNNNNNNNNNNNNNNNNNNNNNNNNNNNNNNNNNNNNNNNNNNNNNNNNNNNNNNNNNNNNNNNNNNNNNNNNNNNNNNNNNNNNNNNNNNNNNNNNNNNNNNNNNNNNNNNNNNNNNNNNNNNNNNNNNNNNNNNNNNNNNNNNNNNNNNNNNNNNNNNNNNNNNNNNNNNNNNNNNNNNNNNNNNNNNNNNNNNNNNNNNNNNNNNNNNNNNNNNNNNNNNNNNNNNNNNNNNNNNNNNNNNNNNNNNNNNNNNNNNNNNNNNNNNNNNNNNNNNNNNNNNNNNNNNNNNNNNNNNNNNNNNNNNNNNNNNNNNNNNNNNNNNNNNNNNNNNNNNNNNNNNNNNNNNNNNNNNNNNNNNNNNNNNNNNNNNNNNNNNNNNNNNNNNNNNNNNNNNNNNNNNNNNNNNNNNNNNNNNNNNNNNNNNNNNNNNNNNNNNNNNNNNNNNNNNNNNNNNNNNNNNNNNNNNNNNNNNNNNNNNNNNNNNNNNNNNNNNNNNNNNNNNNNNNNNNNNNNNNNNNNNNNNNNNNNNNNNNNNNNNNNNNNNNNNNNNNNNNNNNNNNNNNNNNNNNNNNNNNNNNNNNNNNNNNNNNNNNNNNNNNNNNNNNNNNNNNNNNNNNNNNNNNNNNNNNNNNNNNNNNNNNNNNNNNNNNNNNNNNNNNNNNNNNNNNNNNNNNNNNNNNNNNNNNNNNNNNNNNNNNNNNNNNNNNNNNNNNNNNNNNNNNNNNNNNNNNNNNNNNNNNNNNNNNNNNNNNNNNNNNNNNNNNNNNNNNNNNNNNNNNNNNNNNNNNNNNNNNNNNNNNNNNNNNNNNNNNNNNNNNNNNNNNNNNNNNNNNNNNNNNNNNNNNNNNNNNNNNNNNNNNNNNNNNNNNNNNNNNNNNNNNNNNNNNNNNNNNNNNNNNNNNNNNNNNNNNNNNNNNNNNNNNNNNNNNNNNNNNNNNNNNNNNNNNNNNNNNNNNNNNNNNNNNNNNNNNNNNNNNNNNNNNNNNNNNNNNNNNNNNNNNNNNNNNNNNNNNNNNNNNNNNNNNNNNNNNNNNNNNNNNNNNNNNNNNNNNNNNNNNNNNNNNNNNNNNNNNNNNNNNNNNNNNNNNNNNNNNNNNNNNNNNNNNNNNNNNNGAUUUUUCACAAGGAAUUAUUUUUUUCUACGCUUGGAACAUAUGAACCUCCAUCACAAAAAGGCUUCUCUCUUUGAGUCUCCUAGUAUGCGGGGUUUGUGCAAUCCUGCGAUGAGAAGUUCUUUUGUAGUACCAAAGCCUCACACCCAAUUACUGCACUCCAAUUUUUCUCACUCUAUCUAUAACGGUGGAGCAAAUAGCUCUCCCUCUGCUCCUUCACAACCCACCACAAAUUUCUGUUAAAAAAAAAUAUAACCUACACUACAUAUGUCUAGCCUACUCAAAUUAAACCUAUACAAACCUAUACAAACCUAUCCACCAAUCCCAUCCUCCUGUGCAAUUCUUCUCCUCCUUUGCAAAACAGAUAUAAGCAACUUCUCUGCAACCACUGCCAACAACUCCGCUCAACUUCUUUGUAGCCAACAACUUCUCUUCUUUGCAACAGCAAGUAUUCUUCUCAUUCUCUCCUUUUUAAUUAUCUUAUGCAUCUUUAAUUUGAAUAGAAAAUGUUCUAGGGUUUAAUUAGGAAUGACUUAUUAUUUUGAGAUUUUGUUGAAAUGAAUUAGGACUUUGAUUUUAGGAAUUUUGUUGAGAUGUUUAAUUUGUUGUUGGUAUUGUUGAGAUGUUUGAUUUGUGUGUUGGUAUGUUUGAUUAAAUGCAUUAAUUUGUUGUUGGUAUUGUUGAGAUGUUUGAUUAAAAUCAUUUCUACAUAGUAUUUAUUUUAUAGUUUAUCUUUUAUUAUGUCGAAUCACAAUCGAAAACCCAAGAAAAUUCAGAGCUUGUUGUCUUUUUUUUAAGAAAAAGAAUGAUGGGACAUCAUCUAAUACAAAUAUCAACUAUCUUGAACGGUGAUCCAGGAGUACGUCAUCUAAUAUGCAAAUAUUAGGUAAAGGAACAAUAUAAUGUGCGAAUAACAUAUAUUCUUUUAGGGCCAUGUCAACCUGAGUUAGAACAUUAUCCAAGCCACUUAGAAGGGAAAAUCUUACAUUGAUUUAAUAAAAAGUGGUUUGGCCAAUUCUCUUGGCUUGAGUAUUCGGUUGCAAAGAACUAGGCAUUUUGUUUUUCUUAUUUCCUAAUUGAUAGAAAUCAAUAAUUUUCGGCCUUGUUUUCCUUGGUUUCUAUGUACAGCAACAAUGGAACGAGCUUUCUCAUGUAUGAGAAUUAUUGAAUCGACUUCGAAGCACCAUAUAUGUGAUGAAUCGAUUUCUGUUUCUUCCUAGUGCUUUCUUAUCUGUCUUUUAAUUGAUAUUAUGUUUUUGGUUGCUUGGUCAGGAUGAGCAAGAUGGGUGAUGUUGUGAGAGCUAUGUUACUAUUUCUUGCAAGUAUAAAUAGAUGUUGUUGCUCUUUGCAUAAUUGCAUGCAAUAUGGCGCAUUAUUAAUGGCGAGAAAAUGAGCAAGAAAAAGACAGGGAAGGACUUUUGAGUAGGCAAUCAACCAUUAUAUAUUAACCUAUGGGGCAGGUAUACACUUUGCCAAGUAUAUAUGUUGUAUACUAGAGGGAAGGUGAAUAUAGGAGGGUAGAUAAUAAACUGUUGUAGUACCCUAUAAUACAGAUAUAUAUAUAACUUACCAAAUAUAACUUACCUUUACCAAAGUGCUUUUGGAGGUGGUUAAUUAUUUUUGCAUACUUACUUAUAACAAAGUGCGAUUUCGGGUGCAAGUUGUUACCUUUUCAAUAGGUGAUAAACUAAUAUCGAACCUCUAGUCGAGGUAUCUUUUGUGUGAAAUUUUUUGUUUCAUCGAGUGGACCACGUCACUCAUUUGCACAUCAAAAUAAAGGAAUUCCGAGAAUUUGGGUGAAAUUAAGGAUUCUCCUUAUUUUUGUGUGGAUGGAUUCAUGACAUGGUCCACCCGUUAACCCAAAGAAUUGUGAACUUCUCCUCAUCUAGUGGAGGAAUUGUGAUUUUCAAAGGGAGAAUCAUCAUUCAGUAGGAAAAUUAUUCAAACUAAAAUCUUUGGUGGGUUUCCUACAGUGUCAUCCCCUUCUUUAGUGUAGCUAACUAGUGGGUUUGUCUAACCAAAGUCUUUUGGGAUACGGUUCUGGAAUAUCUACUUCUAAUAUAGUCUACGACGCAUUGUCUUGGACAAGUAGAGGGACCGAUGAAUUUACUUACAAAAUUUUCCAAUUACAGAGCCAUUUAUCUAUUCAAUGAGAGGAUGUUUUGCAUAGGAGUUCAAUCAACUUACAAUUACUUUAUUCGACCACAAAAUUUCACACCUAUAUUGAGCUCUCAGUAUCAAAAUUACUUGAAAGUACUUAACCAUACAAUAUUUGCAGCAGAAUAUAGCCUAAAAUACACUGCAAACUUUAACUUGAUCACCCAGUUCUAUUGCUUUGGACCUCACCGCUUAUGUUUCGUCAUUAUGAAAACAGCUACCAAGUUGAGUAGUUCAUAAUGAAGAUUUGGAAUUUCAAUUGUCAGUCGAACUACUCAAAACUGGAAUUCGACCUCAUUGUGUACUCUGCCACAAGCUGAGCAAAAGAUGACGACUUGUUCUCGAGCAAGGUUGCAGGAGAAUCAUAUUCGUCAAUAAGACCUACAACAAGAACAAAGAUACAAUUAAAAAUGAAUAAAAAGGUGAGGUUCAGUGGUAGCUAGAGGAAGUUGAAUGCAUUCAUAUGGCAAUACUAACCAUGACUCAGAAGCAGAACCAUGUCACUAUCAAGAACAGAAGUUAUACGAUGUGCAAUAGUGAUGACUGUACAGUCAGUAAAGUGUUGGCGAAGGGUCUGCUGGAUGAGAUUAUCUGUAGCUGUAUCGACCGACGCGGUAGCUUCGUCAAGCACCAAGACCUUACUUUUCUUGAGCAGCACACGGCCAAGGCAGACCAACUGCCUCUGACCCAUACUCCAGUUCUCUCCAUUCUCACUAACUGCAGCAACCAUAUGAAACAUAAACAAAAGAAUUUCCAUGACGUAAAAUGGAAUCUAGUGCAUCAUAUAUAGCCUGUAUCUUAGAGUAGCCAUAGAACAAACCUGUGGCAUCCAGCUUUCCGUCCUUUCUCCUAACUUCAUCUCCAAGUUGACACUUAUCCAGGGCCUGAAAAAAUCAAAAGAUGUUUUAACUAGUCCCACGAAUUUACCACUGCAAAUCUAUAAAUGAAGAACAUUUAGUAGGAAGAAGCUUCCUUUCAUCAGUGUAAAACCAACCAACCUCCCAAAUUUGCUCAUCUGUGUACUCUUCAAGUGGGUCCAGAUUGAUUCUUACAGUCCCUUCAAACAUGGUUGGGUCCUGAGGGAUAAUGCUCAGCCUAGACCUUAGAUCAUGCAGUCCAAUUGAAGAUAUAUCAAUACCAUCUAUCAAAAUCUGGCCAGAAGCAGGAUCCACAAUUCGGAAAAGGGCCUGUAUGAGAGUCGAUUUGCCACUGCCAGUUCUACCCACAAUCCCAGUUUUCAUUCCUCCAGGAAAGCUACAUGUGAUACCUCGCAACACAAGCGGCAUGUGUGGGGCAUAACGGACCUAUAUGAACAUGAAAUUCGAGUCACACAUGAAUGACCCCAUAUGUUAUGAAAUAAAUAAACCAGAACAGCAAGUACCUGAAGAUCAUGUAUGUCAACUUUUCCACGUAAUGGCCAAGAACGAUCUGGCUGAUUGGAUUCUAUUACAAGAGGAGGCUCACUGGGAAGGGUAGUGUACUGUAGUAAUCUCUCCACUGAUAUUAUUCUGUUCUCCACUCUGCAAAGAUUCCAUAUAAACCACGCUUGUAACAUGUUUAGAUUAAGUCCAUAUGUGACAGCUAAGCCCGCAACACCUUCAGAGUAAAAUACCAAAAACAAAUAAGAAAACAGAGAAUUCAAACCAUUUGCUUUCAAAAGAAUAAUUAGUAACACUAAAUGAAUACCACUUGCCUGGAUCAAUCACCCCCGCUGGAAUAGAGAUCAAGAAAACCAAACAGAACCCAAAAGUGAUAGAUGACAACAUAUCCAAGCGAAAACAUAGCCAUUCCAUUGCAGCCGCAGUAUGAAACUUAGGACGACCAUAACCAUCCAUCAGUUUCAUGUUUGUAUCCCUAAAUCUUGAUUCUUGAUCGAAGCCCCUAAUUGUUGUCGACCCUGAAAUUGUUUCGGCAAAAUGUUGUAUCACUGGAGCUUUGCAUACUCCAACCAACCGUGCUAGUUCUCGUGCUGAAGAUAUGUAGUAUUGCUGCAUGAAUAAAAAAAAAUUGAGCAUCUUUCUUCACAUUUAACAUAGUUCAUAUAGACUGCCGGCUAUAACAGGAGUUAGGUUUUUUAUAUAGAUUCAUAUUGUCAAUCAUUUUCCAUGUUGUGUCAAUUUAGAAGUUUCUAAGAACUGUAGCAGAAAAAGGUUGAAGAAAAUGUUAAUAUAUCAACUUAGUGAACUUUUGUGUGAAUAAGGAAGCCAAGUUCCUCACUUCCACAUCAAAUAGAAGGUAUCAGCUUGAAUAACGAGCAUCAACAGUUCGAUGAUCAACGAAGAAUUAACACUAAAGGGACAUUAAUAUUUCCAUAUAAGAUUUCAUGUGGAAAGUCGUGUAUUGGUACAACGUAUAAGAUAGAAGCAGUCGGACAAAGAUGUGUUACCUGCAACCAGAUACAGAUUGCAAUCACAGGGAUAAAAAUGAUGAAAAUCUGCCAUGCAACUUGCGACAUCACUGCAAUAAUUCCCAGAAGCUGGAUCAUUGAGUUGGCAAGGUUCCCAAUUUGACGUGGCAUGUUCAAGUCCACCUCAUUUUGGUCUGUUGAAGCCUGCAAGAAAUCAAUUAGCUACAUUGAUGAGAUUACUGCAUUCAGUACAGCAGCAGAGGGAGUGGUAGCUGUUUAAAGCAAAGAAGGAAAGUACACAAAACUCAUCUAAUUCUCUUUGAAUAUAGUUUGCGUACUCUGUUAAGGAUUCGUCCACUUGGAGUGGCAUCAAAAAAAGACAUGGGAGCACGGAAAAUGCAUAAAUGCAUUUUACUAAAGAGUAGAGUGGCUGUCUUGUACCCAGCUGUUGCAAGAAACAUGGAUCUGAAGAGGAUACAAAAAGAACUUCCAACGGCCAAAGCAACAUAAACAGUUAGAAGUGUAGAAGUUUCAACAGCAGGUUUCACAUCCUCUGAAACAGGAGUUGCCCAAGCCAUCCAGUAAUUGCUUCCAAUUUGAAGGACCUGAAAGAGAACCUGUGCAAGCAAGAUAAACGGAACAAGAGCACCUCCAUAUGCUGUGGUGAUAUACUUCCAGUAGACUGACAACCCAACUCUACCUUUCUCUCUCUCUUCUUCUUGAACAAGCUGCCCUUUUGGUAAAUCAUCUGUUUUAGAAUUUUGACCAUCAGUGUCCUCUACUUUUUGGACAACCCCACUAGUACUAGCAAACUCUCCAUCAUCUUUGCUAACGCUUAUUUUUUCAACUGGCUCCACCUCUGCAGAAUUAAGCACGGACAAAGCUUCCGCGUGUGCUCCCACGAGUUCCAUAAAAUCAGUUCCUGAAUUAAGAAUGUCAUUGAACUUUCCUGCUUGAGUAAUCCUUCCGUCUUUCAUGACCUAAUGACGAACAAUAAGUUUAAGCAGACAGAUACUAACUAGAUAAUAACACAUCUUAUAAAUUAAAAUUCUUAAAAAAGCUCUGGAUUUUUUUACCAAGAUGAGGUCAGCAGCAGGUAAGAACUCCACUUGAUGAGUAACAUAGAUCACUGUUUUUGAACCCGAGAGACCCAGCAAGCAUUCCUGUGGUGCAAUUAUCAAGCAAACAAAUUAAUAAUGAAGUGUCAGUUUUACGGAUGCAUAUGCCAAUAAUUCUAUGAUGUAAAUAAUUUUGGAUACUCAAUUUAAACUAGAUGUAAUCACACUACAAGAGGGAAAUGAAACACCUUAAAAAGGUGUGAUCCUGUAUGAGCAUCAACAGCGCUAAAAGGAUCAUCAAACAGAUAAAUAUCAGCGUCUUGAUACAGAGCACGUGCAAUUUGUAUUCUUUGCUUCUGCCCACCACUUAAAUUGAUUCCCCUCUCCCCUAUAAUUGUCUGAUCACCAAACGAUAGAAUUUCCAGGUCCUUCUUUAAUGAACAUGCUUCCAGCACCCUCUCAUAUCUUUCUCUGUCCAUCUCUUGACCAAACAAUAUGUUUUCCUCUAUCUUGCCACUCUGUAUCCAUGGUGACUGAGAAACAUAGGCCUUUGUCCCACACAUUUUAAGAGUCCCCGAUAUCUUUGGAACUUCUCCCAGAAUACAAGAAAGUAAGCUAGACUUGCCUGAGCCAACAGUACCACAAACAGCAACCCUCAUACCUUGGCUCACUUUGAAAUUUAGAUCCUUCAAUGUUGGACUAGGGGAUGAUAAAUCCCAAGAGAAAUUCCCAUCGACUAUCUCAAUUGCUGUAUCAGAACUACCUCUUGGAAGAUUCUCUAUAACGUCAGGCGGCAAGUCAUCAAGACUAAGGAAUGAUGCAAUUCUAUCAAGGGAUACCUUAGCUUGUGCUAUCAUUGAAAUUGUGUCUGGAAGACUGUAGAUAGGCUCUUGAAGAAUCCUGAAUGUUGCAAGUGCAGAUAAGAUCUUCCCCGACUCAAGUGGGAUCCCCAGUAGCAUGCAAGCAACGAAGGUGACCACUGACACAAAUGUGGGAGCACCCCAGAAAACAAAUGUGGUCAUGGCAGAUGUGUAAACAAACUUUCGUAACCAUCCUGCCUCAGUCUUCCUGAGCUCAUUAAUUUUAGACAAAAACUUCAUCUCCCAUGCUUGAAGCUUGAGAAUCCUCAUGUUCCUCAAGAUCUCAGAUGUUGCCUUCAUCCUUUUAUCUUUUGACUCCAUUAACUUUUCCUGAAACUUCUCCUGCAAGGACCCCAAAGGAACAUUUGCCCACAUAACAACUAUUGUCGCAACUAAAGUUGCAAUCGCUGCGAGACCAAGAUUUAUGUACAAAAUCACUAGGGCCAAGCCAACUUGUGGAAUGACCAUCCAUGGAUCAUGCAUGUUCAAAGUGAAGUCACCAACCCUCUCAGCAUCGACAGUCAUAAAAUUGAUAAUCUCACCGCUAGUGUGGGCCUGCUUGGACUGGCAUGACAGGGUCAAACCCUUAUUAUAGAUGGCUGUAACAAGUACCGCUCGGCUUCUUACUGCUGCCUGUUGUGCCUUAAAGAACCAGUGCCUUUGACAGAGGCACUCCACCAGCUUCGCUACCAUAAAUGCAGAAACCAAAGCAUAGCCUUCAUUUUUGAACUUUCUCCGCCCAUAGAGGUAUUGAACAAAUGUGUCGAUUAGAUAUGGACCGACAUAAGAUGCCAAUGUGUAAAACAUAGCAUACAACCCUGUCAAGCCAACCUCUUUCCAGGCUGAGAAUAUCAAUGCCUUCGCCAGAUGAAAUGUGGUAACUCUGCCAUCCGCACCACACUCCGCCUCCAGUUUAUUUCUAAAAUUUGGAAAGGACCCAGCUACACUAUCACCCUUGUAUAGUUCAGGAACAUCCUCAAGGUCUAAUGUCUUCUUAUUGCCAACCGCAAUUAGAGGACCCAUCCAAGAAAAAGUAAGGAUGCUGAAAAAUCCAGCAUUUGAAUAAGGGGUAACAGGUGUACCCCCUUUGGAACUAUUUGACUCUGCAUUACCAUUACCAUUCAAAAGGGGUUCCUCAAG
Molecule: long non-coding RNA, 44729 nt
Filed under: Prunus persica (peach)
Lineage: Eukaryota; Viridiplantae; Streptophyta; Magnoliopsida; Rosales; Rosaceae
Description: long non-coding RNA (PPER_LNC004340)
Source: RNAcentral